UGCAUUGAUGAUAUUGAGAGUAUGUGCUCAGCAUUCUUAUGGAGCGGCUCCCCAAAUAACACUUCUAUGGCAAAGGUUGCUUGGGCUGAUGUCUGCUGUCCAUUCGAAGAAGGUGGCUUGGGUCUGAGACGGGUUCAGGAAGUGAGUACAGUCUGCAUCCUAAAGCUUAUCUGGCGACUCUCUGCCCACUCUAGCUCGCUGUGGGGAUCUUGGGUGAAACAAUAUCUCCUUCGUGGAGAGACUUUAUGGGAUGUGAGGGACACUGGACUAGGGUCAUGGGUUUGGCGUAAGAUUCUGAAGUAUAGGAACCUAGCAAAGCAGUUCAUCCGUAUGGACAUAGGGAAUGGUCAGUCAGUGAGGUUUUGGUCGGAUCUCUGGCACCCUGCAGGAAGACUGAUAGAGAUUACUGGGGAGAUUGGAACGCAAAAGCUUGGCAUAGGGAGAAACGCAAGAAUUUGUGAUGUGUAUAGAGAUGGAGAUUGGAGGUUUCGGGCCUGUCGGGAUCAACAAUUACAGCAACUGGUACAUGCGAUUCACCAGUUUCCCAUCGAACUAAAUGCUGAGGCUGCUGAUGGGGCUUUGUGGAAAAAUGGACCUGAUGAUUAUGGGGAUAGGUUCAUCGCCUCGAGUACUUGGCACCAGAUCAGACAGCGUAAGGAAAAUCUGCAAUGGAGUAAGCUUGUGUGGUUCUCGCAAGGAGUUCCCCGCUACGCUUUCAUUACCUGGCUAGCUUUCCGUGACAGACUGGCUACAGGCCAUCGAACUAGUAAAUGGGGCCAACCACAAUGUUGCUUGUUUUGUGGUGAACCGGAUGAGACCAGGGAGCAUUUGUUUUUCGCAUGUCCCUAUACCUACACGUUGUGGCUGAAAGUUGUGGGUAAUUUGUUUGGAGAUGAGCCAGACCUGGACUGGGAUAUCACAGUUUCGAUCUUGCUCACACGGAGGUAUGAUCGCAUCACUUUCAUCUUGCUGCGACUGGUUCUGCAGGUCACUAUAUACUCAGUUUGGAGGGAGAGGAAUGAUCGACGGCAUAACAGCACUGCAAAGUCUGUGGACCAGUUGGGUCGCAUCAUCGACAAAACAAUGAGAAGCUGCAUAAUGUCAACGAAGUACUACUUGAAACCGAAACUGCAGGGGCUGAUGCAACGUUGGUUUACGGCUCAUAUGCCUUAACCUGUUUUCAGUAUAUUCUUUCAGUUAGUAUAUUUUUUUUUAAAACUGCAGUCUUAAAAAUACCCUUGUAUAUAUAUUCUUUUUGCGAUGAUCAAUAAAUUAAAAAUUUCAUCAAAAAAAAAAAAAGCAUGUGGAAGUCUGUGCUAAGAAAACAAGUGUCAGUUGAGAUUUGUAUAAGUAUUGUUUUUGUUAUAAGAAUGAAAAAAAAAAUUGAUUAUUUCGGAAGUUUAAAAUCUGUUGAAUGUCUUUUUGAAAUAAUUAUUCCAUGUAACUUAACCAGUCGAUAGCUAAAAGUCCUAAGAGCAAAUUUUUGUAUGAUUCACAAUCAGUCUGUAGCAAGCAACAAAUCCUCAGGAUAAUUAUACAAAAGAAAAUGUUUGUUUGUCAAAAUCACUGGUAUAGUAUUUUAUACUAUGACACAACAAUGUUCGUGAACAAAAACAAAACGAAAAAAACAAAUCUUUUGGGGGAGGGGGUGGGGGGUUUGGUUCGAUAAUUCAGAUACAUUGGCAGCGAAGAGGAACAGAAGUACCAACUGGUUUUCUCCUCUCCCUAAUGACAGCUUCCUUCACCAUUGGCACCUUCUGCUGUACCUUCUUCCAUAUGUGAUUGACCGCACCAUCAGGUUGGAUCGGUCCAAUCCCAUCUGCUCGACCAUUAUCAUACACAAAAACUGACUGCACCUUUGCCAUUCUACUUCGAAAUGAUUCCUUGUCUCUGUCGGAGAAGCUUCUGAGAUGAUUAGCCAACCAUUUAGGUGUUAACGCAUCACUUACAGAGACAAAGACCGAGAAUUCUGAGUAAUCUAGAAUUCCUUCAAAGGGGAGCUCUAUGUUGUCGCUGACAAUCACAGGGAUGCAUAGGCUUUGAAUGGCGUCAAAGAGACGGCAUGAAGUGGGAGUGUCACCUGCUGGAUGCAAGCAGAACUCUGAGUUUCUCAUCCCUCUUAUCGACUGUUCUCUUCCAGUUGCAUUGGGGAAACCUUCUUCCAUGACGAUGUCGUGUUCAUCCACCAGCAAGUCCCAUAGCUUUUUUCUAAUCAACCCACCCUGUCAAGGUGAACAUAUACACAAAAUUACCACUGACCAUUUGCUAUGAAGACAUAUAAUGAUUGAGAUAAAAGUAAGUUACCCGAUGUCUGUGCUUAGCACCUUUGAAAUAAAGAAGACUGUGCCGUCUCUGGUUGCGAGACAAAUCAAGCCUAGGAAGAAGAUGCGUGUAUGGAACAAUCACAUCCUUAAUGACAGAGACUUGGGUAUGCUCAAUCCUCUCAGGGAAGCUACUAGACUUAGAAUCUAGCCUGAACCAUCCUCCAAAAUCCACGACAAGAAGAAUAGAGAGAGCAAUCUCAUCGCGGACAUGCCACAUUGCAACAGGGUCUGCCAAAGAAGGCUUCAACAUUUAACUAACCUGAACAAAUACAUUACAUCCAACAGAUUUAAGAUUCUAAGUCUAUCAGAUCUAUUGUUUUUUUGUAAGAAGAUUUGGUACCGGUUAGGACGAAAACGUGAUCACGUCCACCGGAUCGCUUCCAAGCUUGAGUCUUGUUCAAAAAGUCAAGAACUUGCCUCUGCCUCUGAUAAUCUUCGUUUCCAGAUCUCUUCCUGAAGGAGCCUUUGCCAUUCCCAAGCUCCAUCUCCGCGCUUAGCGUGGCGAAGAAGGGCACGAACACUACAUCAGCUUCGGAUUCUCUGAAAACCCUUUUGGCGAAAGAUCCGAUUCGUCUCUCGUGUGGAGUCUCGAGGUCUCCCAUGAUCCAGUACUCUGCACUGUACUGCUUGAUCAGAGGGUUCUCCGGGUAUUUACCGGGUUUGGGUGGAUUGGGUUUCCGGGUCGGGUGGUCAGGGUCGCUGGGUAUGCGUGAAUCUGGAGGAGAGGACCAGUACUUGUCGAGGAGACCGUAGUUUAGGGAUCUCGGAAGCUCAGCUACGAAGACAUUGAUGCCCGUUUCGACGGUACCGCGCGAGAUCCUUAGAUUUGGGUCGGAUAGUAAGGAGUUUGAGAAGAAGAGAAGCGAGACGAUGGAGACGAGUGAAAAGGCGAGGAACAAGCAAGAGUGUGAGCAGAGAGGUCUAGCGACCGCCAUUGAUGUCAUCUUAGGAACCAUCGGAUCGGAGCUCUUUAGAUCUCUGAUUUGCUUCCUAUUAACUAUAGCUUUAGCAUUUUUUUCAUGUUACAAAAAAAAAUAUCAUCUGCAACUUUCAGUUUAAAAUUAAUUACAAAUACAUUGAUUUAAUAAAUAAUUUUAUUUAUCUCAAAUACUAUUGGUUAAAUAUGUGUAAUUAAUAAAAAAUUUAAUGUAUUUUAAUUAUUUUUUAAAUUUGUGUGAAAAAUAUCAAAGUGGCAUUUUUUAUGAAACUAUGGAGUAUUAUUUAUUGUAUCUUUGAGUUCAAUAUUUUUGAUUAUGAGAUAUAGACAUUUGAUUGUGUUGUAAAAAAAAAAUAGACAUUUGAUUAAUUUUGUAUAUAGUAGUACAAGACCUGUGCAAUUGAAAUAUUGAAAAAACAUAUACCAGUAAUUAUAUAAAAAACAUAACUUACGUUGUAUAAUUUGUUUAAAAAUAAUCACUCGACUUUUAAAUGGUUUAACCCGAUCAUAUGUGGCUUUGUGAGGUCUGAGAUGGCUGAGGAACUUGUUGUUAGAGGAGGUGUCCUCCUCAUAGCUUUCAAGCUUGGGUUGCAAGCACUUUCUCCUGUCAGGUGUAAGGAGAACACUCUGUAGUACCCACCUAUUGGUGAGUUCUGUUUUCUUGUUUCUGUUGUUUUCUAGUCUCGUCUGAGAGUUAGAUUUUUAAACUUCUCAGACCUUUUUCUCCUAGGACAUGGUCUUCGUGGAGAGUUGCAUUAAUCCUUGGAAUGAUAAUCCAGUGUAAAAAAAGAAUAUAAUCGAGAGAUUUUGGAAUUUGGCCAAUGAAACCUAAAAAAUAUUGUUAAUUUGUUUAAAUGUGAAAAAUUAGCCAUAUAUAUUCAAUAAAGCUUGGUCGAAAAACAUUUAUUUUGAUUAAAUUAUAGGCCAGACAAAACGCCAACUAUAAAAACUAAAAGUUUUUGACCAAUUGUUGGACCAUGUUUUAACUUCAUUUCCAAAUGGGUCCAAUUAUGAUCUCAGCUUUAUGUUGUUGGUGUGAUGGCGGAUAAGAACAGAUAUCAGCUCAAUCUAGGGAUUUCGAUUUGAAAUCACUAGAGACUUGCAACUUGAAGAAAAUGAAUCUAAUCGAAUCUCUUUCAAGGCUUUUCGAACAAGACGAAUUGAAUCGAAUCUCUAUCAAAGUAUAAAGCACAAAGCUAGUUUAUUAAUUAUCAAAAGUGUAUCUUACAAAAGCCAUAAGAGAGUUUCUUACAUAGGACUCUUAAAUCGUCAUUAGAAUCUUUAACCUAAUAGAAAAGGAAAAACAUAAACCCUAAGUAAAAAGGAAAUCACUUAAAAAACGAAAACUUGACGUUGAAGGUACUAGGAUGCUGCUGCAUCAGGUCCCCCGAGGUGAAGAAGAUUCGUCUGUGAAUCGUGAGGCUGAUCUGGAGGGAAAUAUCGAGAGAGGUACUUGACAUUAAAAACAUCUGAAGUAGUUAUAUUAGAGGGAAGUUGAAGUCGAUAGGUGUUGUCAUUUAUGCGCUCAAGAACUUCCAGCGGACCGAUCUUCUUAGCCUUGAGUUUAUUAUAGGCGUGGUCAUGCAUACGGUAUCAAGUCAAAUACGCCCAAGGUCGCCGACGUCAAAGAUAAGGCGACGGCGAUGAGCAUCGACCGCAGAUUUAUACUUUGACACUGAUGCUUCCAAGUUUGUAUUAGUCUGAACAUGCGUUUCGACGAGCUGCUCCAUAAAUGUCUCAGCCACUCCAUGAAGACGUUGACGAUCCGGCAAUGUGGAUAGAUCUGUCGGUGCACGAGGUACCAAGCUGUGAACAACCUGAAAAGGACUGAAGCGAGUACUACGGUUAACAGCUCCCUCCGGGUUUGAUGUUCCGCCAACCAUAGAUGAACCGUCGAGGAUACAAGUAGUCACGAACGGCUCCCGAAUUAUUAACGAGGUUGAUUUCCUAGACUUUAUUGGCUUUAGGUGCCGAGUUCCUUUUUGGCACUUAGAGGUCUUUGCAGGGUAUGGAAGUGUUUGACAAAAGACUGAGAAGCUUAUGUAAAUGAAUUGUUUGAAUAAAAAAAUAUAGUUCAUCUAAACUAUUAAAACUGUGUUCUGAAGCAUAAGAAAUAUCUACCAUUCUUCCACCAGAGCACACACGUAUAGUCAUCUUGUACUGAUGUUUUAUAGUUCGAUAUUGACCACAGGCUGAUGAAGUUAGGGUUUCGUGUUUAGGUUUUCUGGAUGCGUUUUUUUACGGAGGAUAAAUGAGAUAUAUAAACUCGGCAUAGGGAAGGGUAUGUUUAAUAGGAUCAACUCAUCAUUUUUGGUAGUUUUAAUUUUAACACUAAAUCAAAUCAAAUAUAUACAUUCCUUUUAAGUUAUACCAUAAUAAAAACAGAAUAUACUUUCUGUAGAGAAGGAAUAUGUGUUUGUCAUGUUUAAAUAAAAGAAAACUAGGUGUUUUGUCCGCAAGUGCGGGCAACUUAAUAAUUUUAUAAAAUUUUGUAAAGAAAUAAAAAAUUUGAAUAAGUUAUUUUCAUGCUUUUUAAAUAUUUAAUAAUUAAUUUAAUAUUAAAUUUUCUAUAUACGCUAAAGUUUUUUAUUUUAAUAAAAUAUCUAUUAUUAUGUAAAAUAAUCCUCAAAACAUUUAUGUAUACAUAAAAAUAUACAUAAAACUAUAUACAUGAAUUUAUAUUUAUUUUAAUAAAAUAAAGUAAAAGAUAGAAGAUUUAUGGGGUUUUAUUGUUAAAACCUCUCAACUAAUUUUUUUUAUAUUGACAUGUAAUAAAAAUUGUCUAAAAUUAUUUUUUAAAAUUAAUAAUUGAGUAUAAAAUAUGAUUAAUAUUUUUUGAAUAAUAUUAAGUUAUAGGUUUUCUAUGUGUUUUUAGUUUUAAUUUUUUAGUAUUUAAAUAUUUUAUUAAAAUAUGUUUUCGGAUAACAACACAAAAUAUAUAGGAAAUAUCUUUUAUUUUAAAAUAUAUCUUUCAGAUUUUGGAUAAGUUUUUUAUUAUUAAUAAUAAUUUAUCUAACCAAAUAAUUUUAAAUUCGUUUUUAUGUUUUAGUUAAUUUAUAGAUUUUAUUCAUUAAGGGUAUAAACGAUAUUAAUCACUCUAACUUUUAACGUGAGAGCUCAAUUCUUAAAAUAUAUCUUUCAGAUUUUGGAUAAGUUUUUUUAUUAAUAAUAAUAACUUAUCUAACCAAAUAAUUUUAAAUUCGUCUUUAUGUUUUAGUUAAUUUAUAGAAUUUAUUCAUUAAGGGUAUAAACAAUAUUAAUCACUCUAACUUUUAACGUGAAAGCUCGAUUCUUAAAAUAUAUCUUUCAGAUUUUGGAUAAGUUAAUUUAUUAUUAAUAAUAACUUAUCUAACCAAAUAAUUUUAAAUUCGUUUUUAUGUUUUAGCUAAUUUAUAGAUUUUAUUCAUUAAGGGUAUAAACAAUAUUAAUCACUCUAACUUUUAACGUGAAAGCUCGAUUCUUAAAAUAUAUCUUUCAGAUAUUGGAUAAGUUUUUUUAUUAUUAAUAAUAACUUAUCUAACCAAAUAAUUUUAAAUUCGUUUUUAUGUUUUAGUUAAUUUAUAAAUUUUAUUCAUUAAGGGUAUAAACGAUAUUAACCACUCUAACUUUUAACGUAAGAGCUCGAUUCCAAAAAUUUACUUCGCAAAUAAUAGUAUAGAUGAUAAUUGUGGUAAUUAAUAUAUAUUCUUUCUUGAUACGAUGAGUGCAUAAAAAUAGGAAAAAAAACUUUGGAUGUUGUUUUUUUUCUCGAAUAAAGAAUAUUUAGUUAUGAUUUAUUGUAAUUAAUAUUGCGUGGAAGUAGGAAUCGUUAUUUGAAUGGAUACUAACAAACAUAAUAAAGAAUUUUUAAAAAGUUAUAAAUUCGGUAAACCAAAAAAAUCGACAAACCAUAUCUUCAUUAGAUCAAUAUGUACAAUGUCGAUAUGCACAAUCAAAACCAAUCUAGACAAUGUUAAUUUGACUUCAUCAUAUUGUGCUUAAGAAGUCGUUGAUGUGAAGAUUGUUGUCUAUCAUUGUUUGGCUAUGAAUAAACAUGAACUAAUCCUCUAUAUAUUAUUUGAGAAACAUCGCAACAUUUUUUGUAGCUACGUGUCAUCGUUAGAAUGAUUCUUAGAAUUCUUAGAGAAAUAGGUUGGUCCAUCUAAAUAUAUAAUAAGCUUUUUAUUAAACCCCAAUAAAUACAUUAUUAAUGUGCUUCAUUAUUUCCUUAAAUAAGAUUACGGAAUUGUCUAAUGUGGCUAAAGUAUAUAUGACAAUUAAUGAUUUUGAAUAAUAAAGAUUUGAUAAAAAUAAGUGUGUAUUAUAAUUAUAUUUGUUUAAUUUUAAGCUAUUAAAAUAAAUUAAACAAUCAUAGUAACCAUAAAAUAAAAAUUAAAAAAAAUUAUUUAUAUAAUAUAUUUUGAAUUUUUAAAAGCGAGUAUAAAUUACUAAAACUGUUAAAAGUUUCACAUUCAAAUUUUGUGAUCUAUAAUUUAAAAAAUUUGUUAUGACAUGAUACAAAUAAUUUAAAAAUAAUAUCAGUUGAAAGUCUCAUUUAAUAAAUAUCAAAAAUAAAAGAUAUAUAAAUAUAUGUAUCAUUUUAAAUUAAGCUAUAUGCCAUAUAAAAAUACAUAAAUAUCUUAAUUUUGAAAUUUAUUUUGAACAUUUUUUUGAUAAAAAAUUUGAAAAAAUAUUGACAAUUUAAUUUUUUAAAAUAUUAUAAAUUAUUUAAAACAUUAAUCCCACAGUGAAAAUUUUGGUAUCACUAAUUUAGACUUUUUGCUAUAACAGAUACAAAUGAUAAAAAAAAUGAGCAAAAAUCAUCAUCUAAUAAAUAUUAAUAUUAAAAUAUAUCAUAUAUAUGUUACUAUCAUUUAAAUUUAAUUAUAUAUCAUAUCAAAUAGAAAAAAUAUUUUUUCGAUUUAUAAAAUUUAUUUAUAUGUUCGCACCAAUUUAAUUAUAUAAGUAGUAGAUAAUGACUUUUUAAUUAUUCAAUAUAUAUUUAUUAUUUCAUAAUAUGUUAUAAACAUAUAAUAUAUAAAAUAAUUUUUAUAUAUAAUGUUCAUCCCGCGCAUUGCGCGGGAUCUUAACCUAGUCUAAAUUAUAAAUGGCAUGAUCAUAGGUUUACGACUGGUCAUAUAUAUGUUUACAAGAGUAUUGGUUUUGAAUAAUAUAAGCAUAUGUGCCGGUCAAACUUAAUUAAAUAGAUUAUAUACCGGACUGAAUGGUCUAAUAACGAUUUAUAGGAAAUUAAUGGAUUAGCAAAUAUGUUUGUGUUUUGAUCAGUGGCAAUCUUGGUUUUAAAUUGCGUAUGGCGAGGCUUGGCGUCCAGGAGGUCGAUUCUCGCCAGGCGCCAUGGCGACUCAUUGCGUUCGCUACGUGUAUCACACGACUAGAAAGUAACUUUAUACACUUUACACUGUCAAGUAUGUUGUACUUAGAUAAAGACACGAUAAAUAUAAAACCAAAACAUCUUUUAUUGAUAAUGUAGAGAACAUCUAAAGCCAAAAUAACAUAUCAUAAGUAGAAAACCAAAACCAAAACACCAAAACGAAGCAUAAUUCAAAACCAAAACGGUUCAUAAUUCAAAGUAAAAAAAAAACAAAACACCAAAACUAAAACACCAACUCUAAAACUCUGUUUCAGAGUCAUCUUGGAACUCCAAUUCCUCCCCUUGACCGAAGCCAUUUGCUUCCAAAUCAUGUUCCAGUUCAUCAUCAUCGACAUCAACAAGAGACAGAUUAGAAGGACCUGGACCAUAUCGUUCCUGUCUUGGCUGAGUUGAAGAAGAGGCAACUCCUUUCCCCUUGUCUGCUGCUGCUGAGCUUUUUGAUCCUCUAGUAGUGUAGUUAGGUUCCUCAGCUCUUGUUGCUUCACUCACUGCACUCCAUGUCAGAUCUUCAUCCUCAAAGACAUUAUCAUCUAGAUCAUCACUAUCAGAGUUUCCUUCCAUUCUUCCCAUCAGCCAUUCAUUGCUUUCAUCAAUCUCUUCUAAGAGAAUAGGAUCAGUGCUAUCACUUCUCUUCAUGCGACGUUGCAAGGCUCGGUUGUACUUGACAAACACCAUGUCAUUCAACCGAUGUUGAGCUAAACGGUUCCUUCUCUUUGUGUGAAGCUACAGAAAUUUGAAUAACAAUAAUUAAUGAACUUCAUAAACAAUCUGAUUAUGAAAUAAGUUGAAUAUAAAAAACUUACAAGUUCAAAAACACCCCAAUUCCUUUCACAUCCAGAGGCACUGCAAGUUAGGCUUAGUACUUUCACAGCAAAGUCUCUUAGAUUAGGAGCUGAUGAUCCAUAAGUAGACCACCAAUCAGCUAUAAACAAACACAAAUGAGACUCAAUUAGUUUAGACUUUAGAAUUGACAAUAAGAAAAAAAGCUAAACGUCUUAAAAUAAUUUACCUGGUGCUUUCAUCUCCCUUUGCCUUAUUGCCAUGUUAUGCCCAAAGAGACCAGCAGCCUUUUAAAACAAAUCAAGCUCCAGCAUCACCUUAUCUUGAAUCUCACCAUCCGGGACAAGCCUGUUGAUACAGUUGUACAAACCAGUCUCAACUUCUUCACAGCACACGUCUUCAGGAUUGGCAUAGUGGAUAGCUGGAUUAAGGAAGUAUCCAGCUGCGUGAAGAGGCUGAUGAAGCUGACAAUUCCACCUUCUAUCAAUGAUCUCAAACACAUUCUCAUAUUUCUCUUGCUUCAUCUUGAAACUCCUUGCAAUAGCCUCUUUAGCUCUGUCCAUAGCAGCAUAUAUGUAUACCAUAGCCGGUUUGGUGUCUCCAUCCACCAUCCCAAGCACCUUAAUGACAUCUUGCAUAUUUGCAUUGUUUUAUCCAUUCAUUCAUAAACAUUUUCAUCAUAUAGAUUAGGAUUUAGACAUGUUUAGGUUGCAUUUUGCAUACAUGAGUCUCUAUUAGGUACUGGAGUACCACAUGAGGUUAUUUGGAGCUCAAAAGUGGUGAAAAGGUGACCAUUGGACGAACCGAGCAUGGGAGCGACCUCCCGGAGCGACAUCACGAAGUCGCUGUGUCCCACUUCUCAGAGCGACCUUCCUAAAGCGACGCCAUGAAGUCGUUCGCGUUCUCAUUACUCCGAACAGUCUUAGAUGACCCUGGAGCGACCUCUCAGAGCGACCUACCAAGGUCGCUCCCGAUCCAGAGCGACCCGUUGGAGCGACACACCAAAGUCACUCGCGACCUCUCGCCCGGAGACACCAAAAAUCGGCCCUGGAGCGACUUCCCGGAGCGACACCUGCAAGUCGCUCCGCGUUAUUUUGCUGCCGAAAUAACCUAUGUUUUGCACUUUCCACCUUCUAUCAAUGAUCUCAAACACAUUCUCAUAUUUCUCUUGCUUCAUCUUGAAACUCCUUGCAAUAGCCUCUUUAGCUCUGUCCAUAGCAGCAUAUAUGUAUACCAUAGCCGGUUUGGUGUCUCCAUCCACCAUCCCAAGCACCUUAAUGACAUCUUGCAUAUUUGCAUUGUUUUAUCCAUUCAUUCAUAAACAUUUUCAUCAUAUAGAUUAGGAUUUAGACAUGUUUAGGUUGCAUUUUGCAUACAUGAGUCUCUAUUAGGUACUGGAGUACCACAUGAGGUUAUUUGGAGCUCAAAAGUGGUGAAAAGGUGACCAUUGGACGAACCGAGCAUGGGAGCGACCUCCCGGAGCGACAUCACGAAGUCGCUGUGUCCCACUUCUCAGAGCGACCUUCCUAAAGCGACGCCAUGAAGUCGCUCGCGUUCUCAUUACUCCGAACAGUCUUAGAUGACCCUGGAGCGACCUCUCAGAGCGACCUACCAAGGUCGCUCCCGAUCCAGAGCGACCCGUUGGAGCGACACACCAAAGUCGCUCGCGACCUCUCGCCCGGAGACACCAAAAAUCGGCCCUGGAGCGACUUCCCGGAGCGACACCUGCAAGUCGCUCCGCGUUAUUUUGCUGCCGAAAAUCACGAUUUCUUAAGGACCUUUUUGCAAUUUAUUUUGGACGUUUUGCACUUGGAAAAACCUAUGUUUUAAACAUCUUUUGUAGCCACCAGUGGCAGAUUAUCUUUUAUCUUUUGAUCUAUUGAGAAAGACACAAGAACUCUCUUGAGAAGUUCAUCUCUUGGAUUUUGAUUGUUAUGUUCUUGUGUUCUUGUUGAUUUCUUAUCUAUUUCUUUACAUGAUUAAUCUGAAAUCCAAUAUGGGUUUAAGAGGAAUCAUGGAGAUUAGUGAGUAAUCACCUUUUGAAUUCAUGGGUUAGGGAGAUUAAGGGUGAUUAGGUUAGAGCUAGGAUGUUUUAGUGUAGAUCAUUCAUAUUUCCUUGCUAGUAGAGUAAUCAUAAUGCAUCUUCUGAGUUGGCCACUCAGUUGUUGAUCCUUAGGCAUUUCUCACCCGAAAGGUGUUCGAUGAAAUGCCCGAGACAACUCUCCUAGGCUUUUAGUAUACUUUGCCAAAGACAUUUGUUGUUAAAGAUGCUAAGAUAGCUAAUAGACUUGUUAGUAAUGAUUGCUUUCAUAUUAUUCAACCAAAGACAUUUGAUGUUUGAGAUAUGUUAGCAAAUGAGCAUUCAUCUAGACAUAGAGCUUGUUUAGAAUUGUGUCUAGGCUUAAGGUUGAUUGUUUGAUUGAUCAUUUGCCAUCCUUAGUUCGAUACUUGAUCACCCAAGGUCUAAUCCCUAUGCCCAUGAGUUCUCUUUUCCCUUAGUCAAGAAAGUAUCAUUCUGUUAUUGCUUUCUAGUUUUAGUCAUAGCUUAAAACCCAUCUAAAUCAUUGGUUGCACUUAGAUUAAGUGAGUACUUGCAUUCUCAGUGCUUUGAUAUCCCUCAGAACUGGUUCGACAAUCACUAUACUACAACAUUUGUCUUAGGAGCCUUGAAAACUCCUAACAUCAAAUUGGCGCCGUUGCCAAAUUCUGAGUAGAUUUAAACAUUGAGAUUUAGUCACUUGCUUGAGACUAAGUCAUUUUAAUUUUCUUUUGUUACUGAUUCUUCUUCUUCACCUACCUUUCACUUUCAGGUGUAUGAACUUGAGGAGCAGGGGUCCAUCAAACCUAGUUCCAAUAGUAGCAGACAUCAGAGCUUUUGAGAGGGAGUGUGCUAGAGCUAGAAGAGAAGAAGAACAACAAGCCCACUUGCAGAGAUUCGAUAUUGAUAUGGCAGAUCCACCGCAAGGGGCAGAACACCAACCGCGGGCAGCUCGACCCAUUGGUACUUAUGACCGGCCCAACAUUCAUGGUCAUAGACUGGGAAUCCGAGCACCGGCUGUGGCAGCCAACAACUUUGAGGUCAAGUCAGGACUCCUCAACGUGAUCGAGAACAACAAAUAUCAUGGCUUGGCUUUAGAGGACCCAUUCGAUCACUUGGACAGGUUCGACAGCUACUGUGGGUUGUCAAAAACCAAUGGUGUGUCAGAGGAUGCCUUAAAGCUGAAGUUAUUCCCUUUCUCUUUGGGGGAUAAGGCACGUCAGUGGGAGAAGUCUCUACCCAGCGACUCUAUCACUACUUGGGAUGAGUGCAAGAGAGCAUUCUUGGAGAAAUUCUUCUCAUCCUCAAGAACUGCUAAGCUGAGAAAUGAGAUCUCCAGUUUCCAACAGAAGAACUUGGAAGGAUUCAGUGAAGCCUGGGAGAGAUUCAAGGGCUACCAAGCUCAAUGCCCACACCAUGGUUUCUCUAAGGAGAGCUUGCUGAGCACAUUCUACCGUGGUGCUCUUCCUAAGUACAGGGCCAGACUGGAUACAGCUAGCAAUGGGUUCUUCUUGGGGAGAACUGAGGAAGAUGCAGAGGAGCUGGUUGACAACAUGGUAAAGAGUGAUGCAGUCUACAGUGGAGACCACGACAGAAGCAGUCGAACAGAUGAUAAGCAGACGAGGAAGGAGUUGAAAGCUCUACAGGAUAAGAUAGACAUCCUCCUUGCUGAUAAAGCCACACAAGAGCAGCUGCACUUUGUUGGUAACCCAAGCCAAGAUACACCACCUGUUGUCCAUGAGGUUGAGGGUUUGGAAGGUCAGGAAGAGCUGUGUUUCAUCAACAACAAUGGUAGCUGGUACAAAAAAGAGCCCAACUUUCAGUACAACAACUACCAACAGAAAUCCUAUCCCAACAACCAACAGAGUGGUUAUCCGCCUCGAAACAACCAGCAAGGCAGCUAUCAACCUCAGCAAAACCCCUCAUCUGGUUCCUCUGCUCCUCAAGAGAGCAGCACUGACACCCUGCUGAAACAAAUCUUGGAGUCUCAGACUAGAAGUGAGAAGCAUGUUGGUUAUGAGUUGAAGAACCUUCAUUCCAAGAUUGAUGGGAGCUACAAUGAGCUCAACAACAAGUUCUCACAUCUUGCUUCUACAGUCAAGAAUUUAGAGAAUCAGUUUGCUUCCAUGAACACUCACCAGACUCGCCAGCAAGGAUCUCUACCUGGAAAAUCUGACCAAAACCCCAAGGAGGCCAAAGCUAUCACCCUUAGGAGUGGUAAGCAGUUACCUCCUACAACCCUCACCAGGGAUGCUGAGAAACUAGGUGAGGAGGUGGCCAUCAACUUAGAUGAUGAAGUGGUGAUUGUUGAUGAGAAAAUCAAUGAUGAAAUCUUGGAGAAGAUUGUGGAAGCCAAGGGUAAAGGAAAGGUUGGGGAAGAGAAGAAAACAGUGAAAGAUGGUGAAGUUCUUGCUCCAGCAAGUGAGAAUUCUUUUGUUCCUCCUCCCUAUGAACCCAAACUACCAUUCCCUGGUAGAUUCAAGAGGCAGCUGCUAGAGAAGUACAAGGCUUUGUUUGACAAGCAAAUGAGUGAAGCUCAGGUUGCAAUGCCCAUCAUCGAUGCUUUCAUGUUGAUUCCUCAAUACAACAAGUUCCUGAAAGAUGUUGUAGCUGCAAAGAAGAAGGAAAUGGAAAGCAUGAUGAUUCUUACCCAUGAGUGCAGUGCCAUCAUCCAAAGGCUUGAUGUUCCAGAGAAGUUAGAGGAUCCAGGAUGCUUCACACUACCUUGUGCUCUUGGACCUAUGGUAUUUGAGAAAUGUCUCUGCGAUUUGGGAGCUAGUGUCAGCGUGAUGCCUUUGUCUGUUGCAAAGAAGCUUGGAUUCACUCAGUACAAGAAGUGUAAACUCUCUCUGGUGUUAGCUGAUCGUUCAGUGAAGUACCCUGUGGGCAUCUUAGAGGACCUACCUGUGAAGAUUGGAAGGUAUGAGAUACCUACAGAUUUUGUGGUGCUUGAGAUGGGUGAGGAGGCUCAAGACCCAUUGAUUCUUGGAAGGCCAUUCUUAGCUACAGCAGGAGCAAUUGUUAAGGUGAAAGAGGGCACGAUUGAUCUCCAUUUGGGUAAAGGGCAUGUUCUCCACUUUGACAUCAAGGAGAAAAUGAAGAAACCAACUGUGUUCGGGCAAGCCUUCUACAUUGAAGAGAUGGGCACUCUUGCUGAUGAGCACCUUGAAGAGUUACCACCUGAGGACGACGAGGAGGGAGCAUCUCCCUCUACUCAUUCUCCAUAGAAGGUAACCCACUACUUUCCCUUGUAUAUACCAUUUCGUUUUUGCAUAUUAGUUUUCUCUUUUUGGGUAUCUCUCUCUCCUUGACAACACAGAGACUGUGUCAUUUAAGUUUGGGGGAGGUACCAAGUAUUUGAUCACGUUUGCUUUGAUGAUUUUGAGUCUCAUGCAUUGCAUUAUACAUAUAUAUUUGCAUAAAAAAAAAAUUCAUUUAGUUUGCAUCAUUGGCAUUUCUAGGAGAGUCUAGAGCAUAUAGGUUGCAUUUACUUGCAUUGGGAGCAAUGAUUUGAAAUGCCUUGUAAAGAACAUUACUUUGCACCUGAAUAGCUUAUGCACCUCUCAAAAACACUUGUAUGCUUCGAGCCUUGAAGACUCUUCCUGAAACUUGUUGAUUGCUGAAACUCAGUCUUUGAAGCCAACUACAACCUUAUUUGAACUGAACGAACUUAAUGCUUCUUGCUCAUGGUCCCUUGUGUACUGAGUCAUGGCUAUACACACUUGAGUUGUCACAUCCUUUAUGCCAAUCUUAUUUUGACAAACUCUAGUGGUAGACCACUCCCAAAACCUUUCCCUCCUUUUAAGCUUUCAUUGUUUGAUGAGUGAGGCCUUUUUCGGAAAGUCUUACAUGUGCAUAAUGUUGAGAGUAUCGGGAACGACAAUGCUUGAUCUUCAUUCUUGCUAGAUUGGGCACUCUAUUGUCUAGCUAUAGGUGGGGGUGAGUGUUGUGAUUAUGAUUUGGGAGAAAUGAAAAAGAAAAAGAAUAGACUCUUUGUGCUUAAGUGAAUUGUUUUAUUGGGAUAAGUAGAGAAGCUUCUAGCUCAAGUUUUGAAAGUCUUGGCCCCCAACCUAAAAAAAAAAAAAAGAGAAAAGAAAAAGAAAAAGAAAAAAAAAAGAAAAAGGGGCUAUCAAAGUUGUUAGGAGCUAAGAAAUAUUUUGAGGUUCUGAAAAAAUCCCUUGUAGAUUUCAAAGAGAAGGAGUUAAAGUUUUUAGGAUCUUUUGGUGAGAGAUGUGAGUUGGGUUUGACAUUUGGGAAUGAUUGUGUAAUUGUAUGUUUGGGAAAAGGGUAGAACAAUGGAGAUUGAGCAUUGUAUGCAUGAGUUGAUCCCUUUCUUAGAUAUAUUAUGUGCAAUGUCAAGGCUACUUGUUUUGAGAGUAAACCACCUUAAAGAUCAUAUGUUUUGAACCUCUUGAAUCACUUGAANNNNNNNNNNNNNNNNNNNNNNNNNNNNNNNNNNNNNNNNNNNNNNNNNNNNNNNNNNNNNNNNNNNNNNNNNNNNNNNNNNNNNNNNNNNNNNNNNNNNNNNNNNNNNNNNNNNNNNNNNNNNNNNNNNNNNNNNNNNNNNNNNNNNNNNNNNNNNNNNNNNNNNNNNNNNNNNNNNNNNNNNNNNNNNNNNNNNNNNNNNNNNNNNNNNNNNNNNNNNNNNNNNNNNNNNNNNNNNNNNNNNNNNNNNNNNNNNNNNNNNNNNNNNNNNNNNNNNNNNNNNNNNNNNNNNNNNNNNNNNNNNNNNNNNNNNNNNNNNNNNNNNNNNNNNNNNNNNNNNNNNNNNNNNNNNNNNNNNNNNNNNNNNNNNNNNNNNNNNNNNNNNNNNNNNNNNNNNNNNNNNNNNNNNNNNNNNNNNNNNNNNNNNNNNNNNNNNNNNNNNNNNNNNNNNNNNNNNNNNNNNNNNNNNNNNNNNNNNNNNNNNNNNNNNNNNNNNNNNNNNNNNNNNNNNNNNNNNNNNNNNNNNNNNNNNNNNNNNNNNNNNNNNNNNNNNNNNNNNNNNNNNNNNNNNNNNNNNNNNNNNNNNNNNNNNNNNNNNNNNNNNNNNNNNNNNNNNNNNNNNNNNNNNNNNNNNNNNNNNNNNNNNNNNNNNNNNNNNNNNNNNNNNNNNNNNNNNNNNNNNNNNNNNNNNNNNNNNNNNNNNNNNNNNNNNNNNNNNNNNNNNNNNNNNNNNNNNNNNNNNNNNNNNNNNNNNNNNNNNNNNNNNNNNNNNNNNNNNNNNNNNNNNNNNNNNNNNNNNNNNNNNNNNNNNNNNNNNNNNNNNNNNNNNNNNNNNNNNNNNNNNNNNNNNNNNNNNNNNNNNNNNNNNNNNNNNNNNNNNNNNNNNNNNNNNNNNNNNNNNNNNNNNNNNNNNNNNNNNNNNNNNNNNNNNNNNNNNNNNNNNNNNNNUUGUAUGUUUGGGAAAAGGGUAGAACAAUGGAGAUUGAGCAUUGUAUGCAUGAGUUGAUCCCUUUCUUAGAUAUAUUAUGUGCAAUGUCAAGGCUACUUGUUUCGAGAGUAAACCACCUUAAAGAUCAUAUGUUUUGAACCUCUUGAAUCACUUGAAUAAAAGCCUUCCCUUACCCAACCAAAUGACUUGGACCAACUGACCAUUUGCAAGAAUUCACCUGAUGUUUUGUGCUUAAUGAAUGUGAGAGUUGGUUGAUUUGAAUGUGUGGAUGCUUGAUGAUGAGUGUAAAGGCAGAAUGAGUUGAGAUAGGCCUAGAGAAGCUAGAGUGUGAUAAGAGAGUGAGCUCAUGUUAGAUUAGAUGUUGAAUUGAGUGCUAGUUGUGUUCCUUUUGGCUAUGAGCUCUCUCCCUAUGAGUUUUAGAAAGUUCACUUGCAGACAAGUAAAGGACUAGUGUGGGGGAGUUGAUAUCUUGCAUAUUUGCAUUGUUUUAUCCAUUCAUUCAUAAACAUUUUCAUCAUAUUGAUUAGGAUUUAGACAUGUUUAGGUUGCAUUUUGCAUACAUGAGUCUCUAUUAGGUACUGGAGUACCACAUGAGGUUAUUUGGAGCUCAAAAGAGGUGAAAAGUGACCAUUGGACGAACCGAGCAUGGGAGCGAUCUCCCGGAGCGACAUCACGAAGUCGCUGUGUCCCACUUCUCAGAGCGACCUUCCUAAAGCGACACCAUGAAGUCGCCCGCGUUCUCAUUACUCCGAACAGUCUUAGAUGACCCUGGAGCGACCUCUCAGAGCGACCUACCAAGGUCGCUCCCGAUCCAGAGCGACCCGUUGGAGCGACUGCACAAAGUCGCUCGCGUUUUCACGUCCGGAGACACACAACUCGCUCUCGGAGCGACCUCUCGCAGCGACCCAGCGAGGUCGCUCCCGAAGCUUGGAGCGACCUGUCCAGAGCGACAGGGAGAAGUCGCUCGCCAUCUUGGUUCCCGGAGACAAGAAAUCGCUCUCGGAGCGACCUCUCGCAGCGACCCAGCGAGGUCGCUCCCGAAGCCUGGAGCGACUUGUCGGAGCGACGAGCCGAGGUCGCUCCGCGUUUUGGUUUCUGCUCGAACUUGUGAUUUUUCAAGGGCAUUUUGGUCAUUUCAUUAUGCACGUUUUUAUUUUCUAAACCUAUGUUUUAUUACUCUGUAAGCCACCAGGAGGCAGAUCAUCUUUGUUCUUAGAAAAACCACCAAAAACCUUUGGAAAGGGAUCUCUUUGAAUGAAUUGAUCAGUUUAUUAUUGAGAAUUCUGUGUUCUUAUCUAUUUCCUGUGUUUCUCUACAUGAUUAAUCUGAAAUCCAAUAUGGGUUUAAGAGGAAUCAUGGAGAUUAGUGAGUAAUCACCUUUUGAAUUCAUGGGUUAGGGAGAUUAAGGGUGAUUAGGUUAGAUCUAGGAUGUUUUAGUGUAGAUCAUUCAUAUUUCCUUGCUAGUAGAGUAAUCAUAAUGCAUCUUCUGAGUUGGCCACUCAGUUGUUGAUCCUUAGGCAUUUCUCACCCGAAAGGUGUUCGAUGAAAUGCCCGAGACAACUCUCCUAGGCUUUUAGUAUACUUUGCCAAAGACAUUUGUUGUUAAAGGUGCUAAGAUAGCUAAUAGACUUGUUAGUAAUGAUUGCUUUCAUAUUAUUCAACCAAAGACAUUUGAUGUUUGAGAUAUGUUAGCAAAUGAGCAUUCAUCUAGACAUAGAGCUUGCUUAGAAUUGUGUCUAGGCUUAAGGUCGAUAGUUUGAUCGAUCAUUUGCCAUCCUUAGUUCGAUACUUGAUCACCCAAGGUCUAAUCCCUAUGCCCAUGAGUUCUCUUUUCCCUUAGUCAAGAAAGUAUCAUUCUGUUAUUGCUUUUUAGUUUUAGUCAUAGCUUAAAACCCAUCUAAAUCAUUGGUUGCACUUAGAUUAAGUGAGUACUUGCAUUCUUGGUGCUUUGAUAUCCCUCAGAACUGGUUCGACAAUCAUUUAUACUACAACAUUUGUCUUAGGAGCCUUGAAAACUCCUAACAUCACUUAACUAGUGGACCAUUCAGCUUGAGAGCAUAAGCAACAUUCCUCCAGAAGCUUUCUUGUAGAAUGUACUGCUUCAUCUUCUUCGCCUCUGCUUCCUUUGGCCAUUUGCUCUUGUUCCAAUCAUCAGACGUGACCAUCUUCUUCAAGUUGGCCUGUUGAAUGUGAAACUGAGACAUGGUAAUGAAUGAAGUAGCAAACCGUGUUACAGCUGGUCGAUGGAGAUUGUGUUGAUUGGUGAAUCUUCUCAUCAUGUUGACAAGAGGCACACGACAGUAAAUGUAACCACUCAUGAAGAUACACUUCUGCAAAGCAUUCUUCACAGGUUCCAGCUUCCCAAUGUCUUCUAGCAUAAGAUCAAGACAGUGUGCUGCACAAGGAGUCCAGUAGAGGUUUGGCCUUUUAGCCUCAAGCAAUUUCCCUGCAAUUCAAUUAAACUCUCAUCAUUAAAUUUUAUCACCUUUAUGAAAGUAAAAAACAAGGUCGUAGAAGAGAUUUUACCAGCUUUUACGUAGUUAGAAGCAUUGUCUGUGAUCAUUUGAACAACAUUCUUCUCACCAACCUCUUCAACCAUCUCAUCAAGCAGUUUGAACAGCAGUGUUGCAUCCUUCACAACUUCAGAGACUUCUUUAGACUUCAUGAAAACAGAGCCCUUAGGAGAGUUAACUAAAAAGUUAACUAUGUCCUUUUGGACCACUGAGUCACGCCAUCCAUCUGACAUUAGAGAACAUCCCUUAGAAGCCCACUCAUUCUUGUGUUGAAGAAGCAUAGUGUGAGUCUCGGCAACUUCCCUCUGAAGAAGAGGAACUCUUAGCUCAUGCAUACUAGGUGGUUUUAAGCCCAUUCCAUACUGCGCAAUCAAAUGUGUCAUCUCUUUGAAAGAGUCAUAGGUGACAACGUUAAAUGCAAUGCAUGCAUCAUAAAACCAUCUCGCGAUUCCAGCACAAGUCUUGUCCCUCAGAUCUUUGUCACAAGCUCCCAAUACACGCUUCAUUUCAUUCCUUCCUUUCAAAAUAUCAGGAGGAGUUGACGUGACAAACCUGUCCAAGAAGAGAGAACAUGUAGUUAAACUCUUGUUCCAAUAGUCUAGCAAAACGAGAAUAUAAAUUACAAACCUGUCCAAUAGACCUCUCUUCUUCCUCUUGUUAGGGUUAGCUUUCUGUUUAGGCUCAACUUCCACAUCGGCCUCACCAUCAUUGAGGACAGGUUCAUAGCGCAAGCUCUGAGCAGCUCUUUCCUCAGCUUUUUUGAUUGCAUCGUUUUGCAACUCAGCUCUCACAUGCUCUGGACAAUUAGGACACACCGUGACACUUGUGUUACCUCCAACCAAGUGGUGUUUCAGACGUGAGAUGCCUCCAUUAGUUACCUUCAUGCAGAAGAUACACUUCCAUUUGUUGGUGUUAUUUGAGACACACGUUCCAUACUUCCUUCCUGGAUCCAUCUGAGAUGCUCCUUGCUGAGAUGAUCCACCUUGUGUAGCACCUCUUUGGGGUGAUCUUCCAAUCUCAGACAUGAUGAAACUUCAAUGAGAAAACAGAGAAUGUACGUUAGUAAUCACGUAGACUUAAAAAAACAGAGAGGAAAAGCUAAACAAGUACUUGAUAAAAUGAUGAUAAUCAAUUAACACUAUGACACUGAUACGGUGAUGCAUGAUCAACUGAUACGGUGAUGCGUGAUCUUAAAAAAUAGUUGAUAAACAUGAUGUGAUAAACUUAGCACGUAAACUACCAAAAAGGAUGAAUGGAUGGUACAUGGAAAAAACAAAAGACGUAAACACUAUAACUAUGAACCUAUGCUAAAGAGAUCUUUGCUUAAUUAAAGAAGUAUGAUGAAAACCAAGCGAAACAAACCAGUAAAAGAAAAGAAAGCUUAUGCUGUGUAUAGAGUUGAGAAGAAAGCAUGAAGAACUAUAGAGGCUGUGUGUACCUAUUAUAUAGUACAAUGACUUAGGGUUUUUGAGUAUUUAGAGAAUAUUUAGAGAAUAUUUAGAGUAUAUUUUGAGUAUUACAAUAUUGCCUCUUUUACAUAACCAUAUUCGGUUUAGAUACCAAAACUAUGUCAAAACAGUUUAGGUUGUUUCCUAACCAUGAGGCGACGCCUUGGUCAACACGUUCUAUGUAGGUAAAGCGAGCUAAGUCGUUCGCCAUACGUACCUCGCUUGGCCACAAGUUGGUAAGGCAUUUUGGAGCUCGCCAGAGGUCGCCAAGCGCCAUGGCGCCGGUGGCGCUCGCCAUUUAAAACCAAGGUGGCAAUCACUUGUAAUCAUUGAGGAAAACUCAGGGCUAAGUACAAAAUGUACUCCUGUUUUAAUAGUUUAGAUGGUAAACUAUUGUGUUCAUUUUCAUAUUGCAGGGUUUGGAGUGCACAAUUGAAAGUUCAAGGAUGAAAUUGGGGACUAAUAUGCACAUUUAAUACUAUGGGGCCAGAAUGAAAAGAAUCAAAAAGCGACAGACCAUUUAUGAAAAUACACAGAAAGGCCAGAUUGCAACAUUAUAAAAUAUUGGGGUAAAUUUGUGAAGUAGUUUGAUAAGAUUAGAAGUUUGAGGCAUAUUGUGAAAAAAACAGGAAACUAGAGGACCAAAAGUGCAAAAAGGUGAUACUUCCCAUUAAUGUUGCAGAUUGCACUUCUCGCCGGAUCUCGUUGACGGCAACUGAGAGUCAGCUACGACGGAGCAGAGACACGACUGUGAAGGCUGCGAACAUGAUUUGAAGAUGGAGAGGUCGUGGGCAAGACGUGGAGAAGCUGAUGUUGACGAGACGCGGCGGAUAGCAAUGACCACCGGUGGACGAGACCUCACAUCGACAACAUCUUGGACGGAGGAGCUGAGAACACAGAGAGGAGGAGACAUAAACACCAUGGUUGAAGCUUCAAUCGAUCUCUACCGUUGACAUCGUUGUUUACAUGACCUUUACACCAGCAUUAAAAAUACAGUUUGGCAUAUCUCAAAUAUGAUAUAAAAUAGAAAUAAUAAUUGAUUAAAUUUUUUUUUUUAAAAAAGUUCUGAGAAAACAGAUUUCAUUUUACAAAAAAUGGUUGAGAACUUAAGAUGAAGAAGACGAAGAAAAAAGAGAGGUGGAUUCAUUUUGUUUUAUUUGUUAGUAAGACCUUAUUAUGUUAAAUAAAGUAAAAACAUAUAUUAAAUUUAGUUAAAGUAAUAGACACUUAAAUCUAUGCUAAUUUAGUUAGUUUAUAAUAAGAAAGUGAGUUUGGCUAAACAAAACUACCUUAGUAGCAACAAAUAUGGUUAAUAAAACUUGAAACUGUCUUUGGAAAGGGAAAGUGGAAAUUGAUUCCCAUCAAAUGGGUUAAGUGUAAAUAUGAGAACAAGCAAUUUGACACAAGCAAAUGAGAUAUAAUAAAAGUUUUUCAAAAGCAGGAGAGAAGAUUAUUAUGACUCGAGCUUAGAAAUAGAAGAAGAGACAAUUACACGAUUUCCCCUCUAGUGCCCCCAACACAUUAAUUCAAUUCAAUUGAAACCGAAUCAAUUCAAUUGGAUUUCUCGAAAAAGAAAAUUUAAAAUUAAAAGAAAAUAAAACCCCGCAGCUCGAGGAGGAAAGCUCCUCUACAGCUCCCACCCGAGAAGCUCGUUAUUGUCUCUGGUUCGCAGCUCCCUUACAGCAACUCUGUUAUCGACGUCGAUAGCUACUCCGGCGACGCCGUCGGACCGCAACGUUUCCACUGGCAAGCAUUCUUUUGGAUAGGUCGCAAUGAAGGUUAGUUAUUCUCUCCUUAGCGAGAUGCAAGAUAAAAAUUUGAUUUAGGGUUUGUAAUUGAAAGUGUUGAAACAGCAUUGAUUAUGGGAUGAUUUGGUUGAUUUAUAUAUGAAAUUGUUAUGCAUUGGGGUGCGUGAAUUGUCUUAAUUUUGAGUAGUUGUGCACGAAGAUCUCUCCGAUCAAUCAAUCGUACAUACAUUUGAGUUCUUGUUUAAGCAUUAAGCAUUACUUUGUAUAACUAGGUAUAACAAGUAGAACUGAUAAUUGUUGUAGAGUAGGUAAAACUUGGUAAAACUGUUGACAAGUCGGUAGAACUAAGAACUACGAGUAUAACUAAAACUUUUUUAUUUUGUUCUUGCAGGAUACAAUGAUGAAAUAUGUGAGCGUCUAUUUCAAAUUCAAAGGGGAGAUCUUGAAAACAACAGUGGAGGAUAUAAGUUUGGCAAUACUAGAAGAAAAGUUGUAUAAAAAGCUUGUGUUGGAUGAAAGUAAGGUAAAACUGGCAUUGAAGUGCAUGUCGAUGGUGUAUGGAUCUGAAGAACAGCAAAUUAUUCGUGAUGAUGAUGAUCUGUUUGGUUUCCUAACAACCGUUGAUAAAGACAACCGUAGAUCUCUUUUGUUAGUGGAGGAGAUGAGUAGAUCAUAUCAGUUAGAGAAGGUGUCGAAAGUGGGCAUAAGUUCGUUUGGUAUGAACUACGAAGUGUCGCAGGGAAAUGAUGAUGUUUAUGAUGAAAUCGGACCGAAGGCCAUAGCUCUGUAUGUAGAAAAUGGUCAAGCAAAUCAACAGAAGGAUCCGAUAGAUGCAGAGAAUGAUUUUAUGGAUACAGAGACCGCAGCGGAGACAGACACUGCAGCAGAGACAGACACUGCAGCAGAGACAGACACCGCAGCUGAAACGGACACAGCAGCUGAAACAGACACAUCAGCUGAGACGGACACCGCAGCAGGGACGAACACCGCAUGUGAGACGGGUAUGGCUGCAGAUAAGUAUGUUGGGCAGCCACCGAUAAAAAAAGGUAGUCAGGUUAUAGAGGCCUGGGAAGACGGUUUGGGUCUGUAUAAGCUUCAGGAGUUUCCAAGUAAGAAAGCACUUCAAGAGGUGGUCGAUAGAGCUGCAUUUGGUGAAUGCUUUCGUUAUGUUAUCAAAAAUUUGGACCAAAGACGAUUGGUGUUAAAAUGUUGUGAAGCAGCCUGUAAGUGGAGUUUUCGAGCUGCAAAGAUUUCAGAGACUGAAAUUUUUUCAGUUAGGAGGUACACGGGUGUGCAUACAUGCUCUCGGUCUAAUCAAAGUAAAAGCAGCAACAUCAAGAUAAAAGGCUCAGCAGAAUUAGUUGCAACUUUUCUGAAUGAGGAAUAUCCUAGAAAACUAAGUACUCCUGUUCCGAAAGAUAUCAUGGAUCUUAUAAAGUUAAAACUUGGUGUAACAGUAUCCUACUCCACAGCCUUGAGAGGGAAAAUCUAGCUAUUUCUGAGUUGCGUGGUGGUUCGGAAGAGAGCUACAAGAUGCUAUAUAGCUACUUGUAUAUGUUAGAGCAGGUCAAUCCGGGAACAAAAACAGGAGUGAAGUUGGAUGAGGUAAAUAAGUUCAAGUACCUCUUCAUAGCUCUGGGAGCUUGUAUUGAAGGUUUUGCAGCCAUGAGGAAGGUGAUAGUUGUCGAUGCCACAUUUCUGAAGAAUGGAUAUGGUGGUGUACUAGUAUUUGCUAAAGCUCAAGAUCCUAAUCGUCACCAUUAUCCGCUUGCGUUUGGUGUACUCGACGGUGAGAAUAAUGCUAGUUGGACAUGGUUUUUCGAGAUGCUCAAAACUGCUAUACCAGACUCUUCUGAAUUAGUAUUUAUGAGUGAUAGAAACCAGAGCCUAAUCGCGGCUGUAGCUAAUGUGUUUCCACAAUCUCACCAUGGCCAUUGUAUAUGGCAUUUGUCUCAGAAUGUGAGAGGGCAUGCUUGUAACACAACCAAAGCCGUAGUCGCAUGGAGAUUUAUGGAGUUGGCUAGGUGUUACACGGUGGCUGAGUUCGAGUCUGCUUACGCAUCUUUUAAGGUGAGAUUUCCUCUAGCGUACAAGUAUUUGGAGGAGCAUACGGAUAAACGCACAUGGGCUCGGGUUUAUUUCCCAGGUGUGAGAUACAACUUGGACACUAGCAACAGUGUGGAGUCAAUGAACAGCAUCUUUAGGGACGCCAGGAGGUAUGCUUUAAUACCAUUGUUGGAUACAAUCAUCAAAACGUUUUCAGACUGGUUCAAUGAACAUCGGAAGGACUCUGUGGCUGGGUCGAUUGAUACCAAACUGGUUCCUCUUGUCGAGAUUCACUUGCAUAACCUAUGGAGCACAGCUGAGAAAACACCAGUGUGUGAGCUUAAUAGUUAUGAGCUUGAGUAUGAGGUAACUGACACUGAAAAUGGGAAGAAUUAUGUUGUGAACUUGAUAGAGAAGAGCUGUAGCUGCAAGGUGUAUGAUUAUGAAAAGUAUUUUUUUCUGCACGGACUUGCUGCUUACUUAUAUUUCCUUGAGGUUGAAGCUGCUCCUGGUCAUCGACGUGAUGUUAAGAUAGAGUAUCAUGAGUUGUGCUCAAAAUAUUACUGGACGGAACUUUGGGCAUUGGCUUAUUACAAGACCAUUUAUUCUGUGCUAGACAGGUGUGAUUGGAAUGUACCAGAUCACAUCAAAGAGCUUCAGAUCAUACCUCAGGAUCGCCUCAAGAGGAAGGGAAGAAAAAACAAUAAGAGGAAUCCAUCUGUUGGGGAACGACGUAAAAGGACACAAAACAUAAGGCGACCAAGGCAAAAUUUCGGUUUCAGUUGGCUGUUGUUUGGAAUGCGUAGUAGUAAUCCCAGUGAAUCAAACUAGAUCUUCUUGUUUGGAUUUUAUUGUUGUUGUGUUGUUUUGGCUUUUGGUAUGUUGCUUUUGGUAUGUUGCUUUUGAAAAAAUUGGUAAAACUAAGUAUAUCUUUUGUGACAUAGACUCGAAAGUUUGAAAGUUCGAAGAAUUCUAUGUUUAAGCGAUCUAACCAUGUAUUAUCUAAGUUUAAGUGUUUGUUUUGCAACCUCUGUUUAAGCGUUUUGGCAGUUAUGUUUAACUGAUUUAUUGGAAAGCCGCGAAAAACUAGUAUAACAAGGUGUAACUAUGAUAUAAAUCGGCAUAAUCCGAAAAAUCCCAACUACAUAAGUCUUAAUACAAAAACACAGAAACACGGUCACCAAAAAUUAUAUAGCAGAUACUGCUUCUCAAAAUACAUUAGUGAAGAUAACAAAUAUUUACAAACCUCAUAAUAAAAAAACUCAUUGUUUCAUGAAAAAUAUAUCAUCGUAUAUAGUCUUUCAAAGAGCACUUUGUUAAUAAGAUCAGCUUAUAAAGAAGUAUUCUAUAGUUUUCAUGAUUUAAAAUAUGUUAUUGCACUAAUCAUUUAUGCUUACAUGGUAACGCAGAAAAAUGACAAGUAAACUUUUUUAGAAAUUAAAAUUAUACGUAAAACUAAAAAAUGUUGAAAUCACGAAAAGUAGAACUAUGAAGAAAAUUGGUAAAACCAGAAACUUCAGUAUAAUUUAGAGCAAAUAUUUCGGAGGGAGAAUAAAAAAAAUUUUCGCGCUUAAACGAAAAAAGCCUAAAUUUCUAAUUAUUUUGGUCAAAAAGUAGAUUCCCUCUGCUCUUUUAUCUGAGUCUCGUCUUUUCCUAUCUUUUCCCAGACACUUUUUCACUUCCCCACCACUCUCUAUUUCAACUCUCUCUCACCAUUCAUACACUCUCUCUUUCCCUUUUACUGAACAUGAGUCAUCCAUAUGAAGAGAUGAAGGAGAUGAAGAAGCUGAAGAAACACUACGACAUGUUGGGGUUCGUUGCCGAUGCCCAAAAUGGAAUUCCCACCUGUUGCCCUUGCGGUGGUGAAAUAAUGACGAAUGUUUCUCCAACUCCGAAGUACAAAUCAGAUUUCGAUACCUUGCCUGGGAGUAGGUACUUCACCUGCAAGAAUUAUGAGGUAAUUUUUCUCCAACUAAGGGAAACUGAGAUAAACUGAGGUUAUACUAUGGGUGAAACUGUGUUAUACUCUAGGUGAAACUGUGUUAUACUCUGGAUAUCUAUGGGUGAAACUGUGUUAUACUCUAGGUGAAACUGUGUUAUACUCUAGAUAUCUAUGGGUGAAACUGUGUUAUCCUAUGGCUGAAACUGUGUUAUGGUGAAACUAACUUCCAGUCUGGUUGAAACUGUGCAGGACGAUGGGUUACACUUUCGUCAGCCAUGGGCUUUUGGUGUUCAGCAAGAAGUGGAGCGCCUAAGGAGGGAGGUGAAAGAGUUGGCUGAAGAUAUUGCUAAGCUUAAGAGGCUCAUUACCUCGACCUCCUGUCCAUGAGAUUCUCGACGUCACAAGUUCUGAGUUCAUGGCUAAAAACUUUGUCUUCCCCACCUAUAUAUUUUUCUUAUUUCGGUUAACACAAGUCUUUGUUUGUUAAGAGAGGACUCUUGUUAAGACUUGUGUACGUUUAUGUGUUCAGUCUUAUGUUAUGUCCAAACUUAUGUUAUGCUAAGCACUCUUAUGUUUAUCAAUUGGUACUCUAUGUUUAGACUUUCAUCAUCAACCAUUAUUCUAAAAAACUAAUUUCCUAGACAUUAUCAAUAGGUAUUCUCUUAAACUAAUUUCCUAGACUUUAUCAAUUGGUACUCUCCUAGACUCUCACUCGACCUACACAAUAAAAGUAAAAGAAUCCACAACAAAGAUCGCAUAUAUAGUCAUAACAUAGUUAAAAGUUCUAAAUCCACAUCACUAACAAGAAACACAUCAAAAGACAUCGUUUGUUUACUUCAUAAAAAACAUAAAACAAAGUUCUAAUACACCAAGCAAGUGAGGCAUCUCUACUUCACUUCUUCCUGCGUUUUUAUUUCUUUGCUUUCUCUUGUGCUGGUGCUUCUUCUUCUGCUGCUUUAGCUUGUGCCUCCUUGACAAACUCCUCAAGCGGGGCCAAUCUCCCAUCCAAUUGGUCAACCUUCUUGUCAACUGUCCUCAUCAGUUUCAACGUUCUUUUCAGCAACUUCAUAACAUCUCCCAGUUGAAUCGACUUCUCACCUGCUUCUAUUUCAUCCCCUCCUGCAGCUUCACUCGCUUCUUCCUUUUUUUGGCGCGCAGCUACAUCCUCGUCGUGCAUGUCUUGAAAAAAUACCUUAUAGCUUGUAUCCAGACACUUCUCCCAACUGUCCACAGCUAUAUCAGAUUCAUCAACAUCGUCUUCAUCUUCCAAAAUGUCAUCCAAGAGCCUUUCUUCUUGUGGAGUUCUGGUGGGGAUGAUGCUGUCGAUAUCAUGUUACAAACACAAUUAAUUUUGAAUCUUAGCAACACACGCCUACCUUAGUGAGACCAUUGUUCUGUUCCUAGUCCUACCUUAGUUCAACCAUAGUUCCAUAUCUAGUCCUACCUUAGUUCUACCCUAGUUCUACCAUAGUUUUACUUUAAUCCUACCACAAUAUAACUCUAGUUCUACCAUAGUAUUACUCUUGUUCUACUUUAGUUCACAGGUAAACUUACGGUUGUGUUAGACAAUUCCUUGUUUAUCGCCGAAAGUGACACCCCUGUCAUUCCAUUUCGUUUGAAUGAGGACUUGCACAUCCUCGGGCAGUUGACAUCAGCUUCUUCAACAGGUUCUUUGAACGCCAAUCCUAGCUUAGGAAUUACCUCGAAUGCAAGAAGCUGUUAAACACAACAUUUAUAAAAUACCAUCAGUAAAUAACAAUAGCAAUCAAGUCAUUAAUGGGAUUUUGCAUACUUCUAGUGGAACACAGAAACCCGUAAGCGGCCAUAAUGUACCCUCUUUCACCACCCCUCAAAAAUGCUUCAUUAUGUGAGAGAUCUCCUUCAUCAUGUAAUCAUAAGAGAAUCUCCCCCAUGGAAAGGACUUACACAAGUCAAGAUCAUCCACUGCUCUCUGGAACACCUCAAACACAUGAUUAGCCUUGUAUCCAACCUUCGUUUGCGCGCAAACAACAUAAGCUAAGAAGAAUAGAACCGCUAUCUUCAGUCUGUCUUUGUGGGGUCCCAUGUUCACUAGCUUCUUCUUAACAACCUCCAACCUUCUAAGUUCUCCUUCCUUGAAAUGUCGAUCAUCGAACUUCGUCCCACCAAGCUUUUACCUUUCUUCUUGUGGAGUUCUGGUGGGGAUGAUGCUGUCGAUAUCAUGUUACAAACACAAUUAAUUUUGAAUCUUAGCAACACACGCCUACCUUAGUGAGACCAUUGUUCUGUUCCUAGUCCUACCUUAGUUCAACCAUAGUUCCAUAUCUAGUCCUACCUUAGUUCUACCCUAGUUCUACCAUAGUUUUACUUUAAUCCUACCACAAUAUAACUCUAGUUCUACCAUAGUAUUACUCUUGUUCUACUUUAGUUCACAGGUAAACUUACGGUUGUGUUAGACAAUUCCUUGUUUAUCGCCGAAAGUGACACCCCUGUCAUUCCAUUUCGUUUGAAUGAGGACUUGCACAUCCUCGGGCAGUUGACAUCAGCUUCUUCAACAGGUUCUUUGAACGCCAAUCCUAGCUUAGGAAUUACCUCGAAUGCAAGAAGCUGUUAAACACAACAUUUAUAAAAUACCAUCAGUAAAUAACAAUAGCAAUCAAGUCAUUAAUGGGAUUUUGCAUACUUCUAGUGGAACACAGAAACCCGUAAGCGGCCAUAAUGUACCCUCUUUCACCACCCCUCAAAAAUGCUUCAUUAUGUGAGAGAUCUCCUUCAUCAUGUAAUCAUAAGAGAAUCUCCCCCAUGGAAAGGACUUACACAAGUCAAGAUCAUCCACUGCUCUCUGGAACACCUCAAACACAUGAUUAGCCUUGUAUCCAACCUUCGUUUGCGCGCAAACAACAUAAGCUAAGAAGAAUAGAACCGCUAUCUUCAGUCUGUCUUUGUGGGGUCCCAUGUUCACUAGCUUCUUCUUAACAACCUCCAACCUUCUAAGUUCUCCUUCCUUGAAAUGUCGAUCAUCGAACUUCGUCCCACCAAGCUUUUAGUAGCCGAGAGGAUAGUUGUGGCAGAAUAGCCCAGAUAUCAAACUGUGUUCCCUCAGUCCAAAACGGAUGGCAACGCCAUUCACAAUGAACCACACUUCUCUCCGCCUCUUGCAACCGGCAGUACGCAGCAACAACAUCCACAUACCACUACCCUAGUUCUACCAUAGUUUUACUUUAAUCCUACCACAAUAUAACUCUAGUUCUACCAUAGUAUUACUCUUGUUCUACUUUAGUUCACAGGUAAACUUACGGUUGUGUUAGACAAUUCCUUGUUUAUCGCCGAAAGUGACACCCCUGUCAUUCCAUUUCGUUUGAAUGAGGACUUGCACAUCCUCGGGCAGUUGACAUCAGCUUCUUCAACAGGUUCUUUGAACGCCAAUCCUAGCUUAGGAAUUACCUCGAAUGCAAGAAGCUGUUAAACACAACAUUUAUAAAAUACCAUCAGUAAAUAACAAUAGCAAUCAAGUCAUUAAUGGGAUUUUGCAUACUUCUAGUGGAACACAGAAACCCGUAAGCGGCCAUAAUGUACCCUCUUUCACCACCCCUCAAAAAUGCUUCAUUAUGUGAGAGAUCUCCUUCAUCAUGUAAUCAUAAGAGAAUCUCCCCCAUGGAAAGGACUUACACAAGUCAAGAUCAUCCACUGCUCUCUGGAACACCUCAAACACAUGAUUAGCCUUGUAUCCAACCUUCGUUUGCGCGCAAACAACAUAAGCUAAGAAGAAUAGAACCGCUAUCUUCAGUCUGUCUUUGUGGGGUCCCAUGUUCACUAGCUUCUUCUUAACAACCUCCAACCUUCUAAGUUCUCCUUCCUUGAAAUGUCGAUCAUCGAACUUCGUCCCACCAAGCUUUUAGUAGCCGAGAGGAUAGUUGUGGCAGAAUAGCCCAGAUAUCAAACUGUGUUCCCUCAGUCCAAAACGGAUGGCAACGCCAUUCACAAUGAACCACACUUCUCUCCGCCUCUUGCAACCGGCAGUACGCAGCAACAACAUCCACAUACCAUGAACCCUGUGGUUGUUCUCGCUUUUCAUGUGGAAAAUGUGUCUGAAUUGAGGAUGCUCUGUGAACGAGUUCCACUCCGCGUUAGACAGCUUCGGUUUCAGAUUGCUUAGCGUCUUACUCGCACUAGCUAUCAUGCACCUCGUCCCUAGAUUUUUUUUUUUUUUGUACUCAGAUGGCUUGAAGAACAUUAUGGUUGGUUUGAUUGCCUCGGGUGCCUCAUUUUCAUCCAAAUCCUGCAAGUUAUAUCCAAGUUAUAUCCAAGUUAUACUAAAGUUAUACUCAAGUUAUACUAAAGUUAUACUAACGCAUACCAAAGUAAUACCAAAACUGACAGUUUUUCCAAUAGUUCUCCUAGUAUUACUAACAUUAACCCACUCAAUUUACUACCUCUCUCGAAUCAUAUGAACUUCAAUUCAAACUCAUUUUUAAUUUGUUACCUGAGGUUCAGGUGGAUUUCCAUUCUCGUUUGCUUCCUCUUCUCCUUCUCCAUUUGCUUGUUCUUCUUCCGAACGUGCAUUCACUUCGUUCUCUCCAUAUGGAGGUUCUUCUUCUGAAUCUUCAUGGUCCUGGUUAGAACUCUCCUUCUCUCCAUCUGGUUUUUCUUGUUCUUCUUCAGAACCCUCAUUCACUUCAUCUCCAGAAGCGGUUUUCUCAUUCACUUCAUCUCCAGAAGCGAUUUCCUCAUUCUCUUCAUCUCCAGAACCGGUUUCCUCAUUCUCUUCAUCUCCAGGACCUUUGUUCAGUGUCGUCGGAGCAGCUUCUGCAACCACAUUAAACGGCUCCGUCAUCUCCGCCGUAUUCUCAGAUGAGUCCUUUCUCGUCUUCUCCGUCGAGACAUCCGUCGUAUGAGUCAUCUCCAUCGAGACAUCCGUCGUCUUUGCCGUCGAUUCAUCCGUCGUCUUUGCCGUCGAUUCAACAACAUCCACCGCCCUCGUUUCACUCUCCUCCAUCGUCGUCUUCUCCACAUUUUCUCCGGAGCCCGUCUUUGCAAACUUCACUCUCGGAGCCUCUUCCUCCGUUGGAUUCUCCUUCCUCUUACCCCGUCGCGUUUCGACCACCAUUGCAAUCGAAAGAUUUCACCGGAUUCUAUCUCGAUUCUCACCGAAUCAAGCUCGAUUUUGGAAACUAUGGUUCUUCUUUCGCUCGUGAGGAAAGAAAGAAAAAGAGGAGAGAAAUAAGUUUUAAACUGAGACAAAUUAGAUCUCCAAAUACAUUGAGAGGGUUUGCUAAAACCGACAGCUUUGGUUUGGUUUUGAGGGAUUGGUUUGUUUGGUUAGUAUGGUUACACGGUUAGACGAUUCGGUUCAAUUGAUUUGCCUAUAUAAGCGGGUUAGGUCGGGGCGGAUGGGUUAUACCCUGGUACAACUUGUAAAUACUUCAACUAUUUUCAGGGUUUUAUGUCAUUUCCGUAUUUUCCGAAUUAAAGAAAAAUUAUUUAUUUUUCUGUUUAUUAGAGUGUCUAAUAGAGAUUGGAUUACCAGAUUUGGAGGCACCAGAAGUGAUGACUCCUCAUAAAAUUGCCUAUUGCGAAAAGAAAAUCGUCUUGCACGAAACAAAAGAUCGAUCUUAGGGCCGAAGAUAUAUUACAAACAAAAGUUUUAAUCAGCAUCUUCCUCUAAAAAAUACUCUCUCUGUUUAAAAAUAGAUGAAGUUUUAAGAUUGUGCACAACUAUUAAGAAAUUUAUUUUUUAUCUUAAAAAUAUUAUUAAAAUUUAAAUUAAAAAAUUAUUCAAUCAAUCACAAAAUAGACUACAAAAUAUCAUUGGUUACACAGUUUUUGUUAAAGUGAAAAAUGUAUUGAUAUAUGAAAACAUCAUCUAUUUUGAAAUAUCAAAAACUGUCUAAAACAUCAUUUAUUUUGAAAUGGAGGGAGUAGAGAUUUGGUAAGAGGAAGGAUUUAAGAGAGAACUUUUCUCUCUAAACGAAGAGAGAAAGAGAGAGCCUCCCUUUGGUUAUUUUUUUGCUUGCCAUCUCUUUUUCCCCCAGCGUAGAAUCAUAAUAACACUCAUUUGAAUUGACAACUUUUGAAUAUUACUACAAUUUCCAAUCGUAAUUAUCACUAAUAAUAGUUACCGAUUUAAAAGAAAGAAAGAAAACAAUGGUCGUUUCAGUCUUCAUCGAUAAUGAGUUGCAGAGAACCUCGAAGCUUCACGACCAAAACAAUGGCGGAGCGGCCAUACACCAUGCUUCUUCCUCUUCUUCUCCUUCUCCUCCAUUUCCCAUUUUUAACUUCGGCCAUACCUCUCGGCUCUGUUCUCUACGCCUCCGGUUCAAACCAGUCCUGGUCGUCUCCCAAUUCCACUUUCGCCGUCUCCUUUCUUCCAUCGUCUUCUCCAAACACCUUCCUCGCCGCCGUUUCCUUCGCCGGAACCGUUCCCAUUUGGUCCGCAGGAAGCGUUGACUCUCAAGGAUCCCUUCGCCUCUCCUCCUCCGGCUCUCUCCAACUCAUCAACGGCUCCAACACCACCGUCUGGGACUCCGCUACCGACGCUCUCGGCGUCGCUUCGGCUGCGAUUGAAGAUUCCGGUAGCCUUGUCCUCCUCAACAACCGAAACAAAACAGUCUGGUCUUCCUUCGAUCACCCGACGGACACGAUCGUGCAAUCUCAGAACUUCGCCGCCGGUAAGAUUCUCCGAUCUGGCAGCUACUCGUUUCAGCUAGAGAGAAGAGGGAACCUCACGCUUACGUGGAACAACACCACGGUUUACUGGAGCCAAGGGCUUAAUUCGUCAUUUAUACUUUAGUUCACAGGUAAACUUACGGUUGUGUUAGACAAUUCCUUGUUUAUCGCCGAAAGUGACACCCCUGUCAUUCCAUUUCGUUUGAAUGAGGACUUGCACAUCCUCGGGCAGUUGACAUCAGCUUCUUCAACAGGUUCUCUGAACGCCAAUCCUAGCUUAGGAAUUGCCUCGAAUGCAAGAAGCUGUUAAACACAACAUUUCUAAAAUCCCAUCAGUAAAUAACAAUAGCAAUCAAGUCAUUAAUGGGAUUUUACAUACCUCUAGUGGAACACAAAAACCCGGAAGCGACCAUAAUGUACCCUCCAAAAUGCUUCAUUGUGUGAGAGAUCUCCUUCAGCAUGUAAUCAUAAGAGAAUCUCCCCCAUGGAAAGGACUUACACAAGUCAAUAUCAUCCACUGCUCUCUGGAACACCUCCAACACAGGAUUAGCCUUGUGUCCAACCUUCGUCUGCGCGAAAACAACAGAAGCUAAGAAGAAUAGAACCGCCAUCUUCAGUCUGUCUUUGUGGGGUCCCAUGUCACGAGCUUCUUCUUAACAUCCUCCAACUUUCUAAGUUCUCCUUCCUUGAAAUGUCGAUCAACGAACUUCGUCCCACCAAGCUUUUUGUAGCCGAGAGGAUAGUUGUGGCAGAAUAGCCCAGAUAUCAAACCGUGUUCCCUCAGCCCAUAACGGAUGGCAACGCCAUUCACAAUGAACCACACUUCUCUCCGCCUCUUGCAACCGGCAGUACGCAGCAACAACAUCCACAUACCAUGAACCCUGUGGUUGUUCUCGCUUUUCAUGUGGAAAAUGUGUCUGAAUUGAGGAUGCUCUGUGAACGAGUUCCACUCCGCGUUAGACAGCUUCGGUUUCAGAUUGCUUAGCGUCUUACUCGCACUAGCUAUCAUGCACCUCGUCCCUAGAUUUUUUUUUUUUUGUACUCAGAUGGCUUGAAGAACAUUAUGGUUGGUUUGAUUGCCUCGGGUGCCUCAUUUUCAUCCAAAUCCUGCAAGUUAUAUCCAAGUUAUAUCCAAGUUAUACUAAAGUUAUACUCAAGUUAUACUAAAGUUAUACUAACGCAUACCAAAGUAAUACCAAAACUGACAGUUUUUCCAAUAGUUCUCCUAGUAUUACUAACAUUAACCCACUCAAUUUACUACCUCUCUCGAAUCAUAUGAACUUCAAUUCAAACUCAUUUUUAAUUUGUUACCUGAGGUUCAGGUGGAUUUCCAUUCUCGUUUGCUUCCUCUUCUCCUUCUCCAUUUGCUUGUUCUUCUUCCGAACGUGCAUUCACUUCGUUCUCUCCAUAUGGAGGUUCUUCUUCUGAAUCUUCAUGGUCCUGGUUAGAACUCUCCUUCUCUCCAUCUGGUUUUUCUUGUUCUUCUUCAGAACCCUCAUUCACUUCAUCUCCAGAAGCGGUUUUCUCAUUCACUUCAUCUCCAGAAGCGAUUUCCUCAUUCUCUUCAUCUCCAGAACCGGUUUCCUCAUUCUCUUCAUCUCCAGGACCUUUGUUCAGUGUCGUCGGAGCAGCUUCUGCAACCACAUUAAACGGCUCCGUCAUCUCCGCCGUAUUCUCAGAUGAGUCCUUUCUCGUCUUCUCCGUCGAGACAUCCGUCGUAUGAGUCAUCUCCAUCGAGACAUCCGUCGUCUUUGCCGUCGAUUCAUCCGUCGUCUUUGCCGUCGAUUCAACAACAUCCACCGCCCUCGUUUCACUCUCCUCCAUCGUCGUCUUCUCCACAUUUUCUCCGGAGCCCGUCUUUGCAAACUUCACUCUCGGAGCCUCUUCCUCCGUUGGAUUCUCCUUCCUCUUACCCCGUCGCGUUUCGACCACCAUUGCAAUCGAGCAACCACAUUAAACGGCUCCGUCAUCUCCGCCGUAUUCUCAGAUGAGUCCUUUCUCGUCUUCUCCGUCGAGACAUCCGUCGUAUGAGUCAUCUCCAUCGAGACAUCCGUCGUCUUUGCCGUCGAUUCAUCCGUCGUCUUUGCCGUCGAUUCAACAACAUCCACCGCCCUCGUUUCACUCUCCUCCAUCGUCGUCUUCUCCACAUUUUCUCCGGAGCCCGUCUUUGCAAACUUCACUCUCGGAGCCUCUUCCUCCGUUGGAUUCUCCUUCCUCUUACCCCGUCGCGUUUCGACCACCAUUGCAAUCGAAAGAUUUCACCGGAUUCUAUCUCGAUUCUCACCGAAUCAAGCUCGAUUUUGGAAACUAUGGUUCUUCUUUCGCUCGUGAGGAAAGAAAGAAAAAGAGGAGAGAAAUAAGUUUUAAACUGAGACAAAUUAGAUCUCCAAAUACAUUGAGAGGGUUUGCUAAAACCGACAGCUUUGGUUUGGUUUUGAGGGAUUGGUUUGUUUGGUUAGUAUGGUUACACGGUUAGACGAUUCGGUUCAAUUGAUUUGCCUAUAUAAGCGGGUUAGGUCGGGGCGGAUGGGUUAUACCCUGGUACAACUUGUAAAUACUUCAACUAUUUUCAGGGUUUUAUGUCAUUUCCGUAUUUUCCGAAUUAAAGAAAAAUUAUUUAUUUUUCUGUUUAUUAGAGUGUCUAAUAGAGAUUGGAUUACCAGAUUUGGAGGCACCAGAAGUGAUGACUCCUCAUAAAAUUGCCUAUUGCGAAAAGAAAAUCGUCUUGCACGAAACAAAAGAUCGAUCUUAGGGCCGAAGAUAUAUUACAAACAAAAGUUUUAAUCAGCAUCUUCCUCUAAAAAAUACUCUCUCUGUUUAAAAAUAGAUGAAGUUUUAAGAUUGUGCACAACUAUUAAGAAAUUUAUUUUUUAUCUUAAAAAUAUUAUUAAAAUUUAAAUUAAAAAAUUAUUCAAUCAAUCACAAAAUAGACUACAAAAUAUCAUUGGUUACACAGUUUUUGUUAAAGUGAAAAAUGUAUUGAUAUAUGAAAACAUCAUCUAUUUUGAAAUAUCAAAAACUGUCUAAAACAUCAUUUAUUUUGAAAUGGAGGGAGUAGAGAUUUGGUAAGAGGAAGGAUUUAAGAGAGAACUUUUCUCUCUAAACGAAGAGAGAAAGAGAGAGCCUCCCUUUGGUUAUUUUUUUGCUUGCCAUCUCUUUUUCCCCCAGCGUAGAAUCAUAAUAACACUCAUUUGAAUUGACAACUUUUGAAUAUUACUACAAUUUCCAAUCGUAAUUAUCACUAAUAAUAGUUACCGAUUUAAAAGAAAGAAAGAAAACAAUGGUCGUUUCAGUCUUCAUCGAUAAUGAGUUGCAGAGAACCUCGAAGCUUCACGACCAAAACAAUGGCGGAGCGGCCAUACACCAUGCUUCUUCCUCUUCUUCUCCUUCUCCUCCAUUUCCCAUUUUUAACUUCGGCCAUACCUCUCGGCUCUGUUCUCUACGCCUCCGGUUCAAACCAGUCCUGGUCGUCUCCCAAUUCCACUUUCGCCGUCUCCUUUCUUCCAUCGUCUUCUCCAAACACCUUCCUCGCCGCCGUUUCCUUCGCCGGAACCGUUCCCAUUUGGUCCGCAGGAAGCGUUGACUCUCAAGGAUCCCUUCGCCUCUCCUCCUCCGGCUCUCUCCAACUCAUCAACGGCUCCAACACCACCGUCUGGGACUCCGCUACCGACGCUCUCGGCGUCGCUUCGGCUGCGAUUGAAGAUUCCGGUAGCCUUGUCCUCCUCAACAACCGAAACAAAACAGUCUGGUCUUCCUUCGAUCACCCGACGGACACGAUCGUGCAAUCUCAGAACUUCGCCGCCGGUAAGAUUCUCCGAUCUGGCAGCUACUCGUUUCAGCUAGAGAGAAGAGGGAACCUCACGCUUACGUGGAACAACACCACGGUUUACUGGAGCCAAGGGCUUAAUUCGUCAUUUAGCUCCAACUUGUCUUCCCCUAGCUUAGCUUUACAGACCAACGGUGUUGUGUUGAUGUUCGAUUCAACUCUCACUGGUGGAGCUGAAACCAUUUACAGUGACGAUUACGGCGAAGGUAGCAAUACGUUUCGGUUCUUGAAGCUAGAUGAUGAUGGGAAUCUCAGAAUCUACAGCUCCGCGUCUAGAAACACCGGUCCUGUCUCGCCUCAUUGGUCUGCUGUAGCUGAUCAGUGUCUUGUUUAUGGGUAUUGUGGUAACUUUGGGAUUUGUAGUUACAAUGAUACUAAACCCAUUUGCUUGUGCCCUUCUCGUAACUUUGAUCCUGUUGAUGUGAAUGAUAGAAGAAAAGGUUGUAAGAGAAAAGUAGAACUAAGUAAUUGCUCUAGCAAUGCAGCCAUGCUUGAUUUGGAUCACACUAGGUUGAUUACAGACCCUAAUGACCCAAACUCUCAGAGCUUCUUUGCUGGAAGUUCGCCUUGUAGAGGGAAUUGCCUUGUUAGUGGUGUUUGUCUUGCUUCUGUCUCCAUGUCUGAUGGUUCUGGAAACUGUUGGCAGAAGCAACCCGGUUCCUUCAUUACCGGGUACCAGAGCUCAUCGGUUCCGAGUACUUCUUAUGUUAAAGUCUGUGGUCCGGUGUUGCUUAACGAACCUUUGGUUGGAUCAAAUGGUGAUGGUAAUAACUCGAAAGUGCACUUGUGGAUUGUUGCAGUUGCUGUACUAGCGGGCUUCUUGGUUUGGCUGUGGUAGAGGUAGGUCUAUGGUGGUGCUGCUGCAGAAACAAUCCUCGGUUUGGUGCUUUGUCGUCUCACUACACGUUGCUUGAGUACGCUUCUGGUGCACCCGUGCAGUUUACAUACAGGGAGCUUCAACGUUGCACAAAAAGUUUCAAAGAGAAGCUUGGAGCUGGAGGGUUUGGUAACCUCCAACUUUCUAAGUUCUCCUUCCUUGAAAUGUCGAUCAACAAACUUCGUCCCACCAAGAUUUUUGUAGCUGAGAGGAUAGUUGUGGCAGAAUAGCCCAUAUAUCAAACCGUGUUCCCUCAGCCCAUAACGGAUGGCUACGCCCUUCACAAUUAACCACACUUCUCUCCGCCUCUCGCAACCGGCAGUACGUAGCAACAACAUCCACAUACCUUGAACCCUGUGUUUGUUCUCGCUUUUCAUGUGGAAAAUGUGUCUGAAUUGAGGAUGCUCCGUGAACCAGUUCCACUUCGCGUUAGACAGCUUCGGUUUCAGAUUGCUUAUCGUAUUAAUCGCACUAGCUAUCAUGCAUCUCGUCCCUAGCUUUAUUUUUUUUGUACUCAGAUGGCUUGAAGAACAUUAUGGUUGGUUUGAUUGCCUCGGGUGCCUCAUUUUCAUCCAAAUCCUGCAAGUUAUAUCCAAGUUAUAUCCAAGUUAUACUAAAGUUAUACUCAAGUUAUACUAAAGUUAUACUAACGCAUACCAAAGUAAUACCAAAACUGACAGUUUUUCCAAUAGUUCUCCUAGUAUUACUAACAUUAACCCACUCAAUUUACUACCUCUCUCGAAUCAUAUGAACUUCAAUUCAAACUCAUUUUUAAUUUGUUACCUGAGGUUCAGGUGGAUUUCCAUUCUCGUUUGCUUCCUCUUCUCCUUCUCCAUUUGCUUGUUCUUCUUCCGAACGUGCAUUCACUUCGUUCUCUCCAUAUGGAGGUUCUUCUUCUGAAUCUUCAUGGUCCUGGUUAGAACUCUCCUUCUCUCCAUCUGGUUUUUCUUGUUCUUCUUCAGAACCCUCAUUCACUUCAUCUCCAGAAGCGGUUUUCUCAUUCACUUCAUCUCCAGAAGCGAUUUCCUCAUUCUCUUCAUCUCCAGAACCGGUUUCCUCAUUCUCUUCAUCUCCAGGACCUUUGUUCAGUGUCGUCGGAGCAGCUUCUGCAACCACAUUAAACGGCUCCGUCAUCUCCGCCGUAUUCUCAGAUGAGUCCUUUCUCGUCUUCUCCGUCGAGACAUCCGUCGUAUGAGUCAUCUCCAUCGAGACAUCCGUCGUCUUUGCCGUCGAUUCAUCCGUCGUCUUUGCCGUCGAUUCAACAACAUCCACCGCCCUCGUUUCACUCUCCUCCAUCGUCGUCUUCUCCACAUUUUCUCCGGAGCCCGUCUUUGCAAACUUCACUCUCGGAGCCUCUUCCUCCGUUGGAUUCUCCUUCCUCUUACCCCGUCGCGUUUCGACCACCAUUGCAAUCGAAAGAUUUCACCGGAUUCUAUCUCGAUUCUCACCGAAUCAAGCUCGAUUUUGGAAACUAUGGUUCUUCUUUCGCUCGUGAGGAAAGAAAGAAAAAGAGGAGAGAAAUAAGUUUUAAACUGAGACAAAUUAGAUCUCCAAAUACAUUGAGAGGGUUUGCUAAAACCGACAGCUUUGGUUUGGUUUUGAGGGAUUGGUUUGUUUGGUUAGUAUGGUUACACGGUUAGACGAUUCGGUUCAAUUGAUUUGCCUAUAUAAGCGGGUUAGGUCGGGGCGGAUGGGUUAUACCCUGGUACAACUUGUAAAUACUUCAACUAUUUUCAGGGUUUUAUGUCAUUUCCGUAUUUUCCGAAUUAAAGAAAAAUUAUUUAUUUUUCUGUUUAUUAGAGUGUCUAAUAGAGAUUGGAUUACCAGAUUUGGAGGCACCAGAAGUGAUGACUCCUCAUAAAAUUGCCUAUUGCGAAAAGAAAAUCGUCUUGCACGAAACAAAAGAUCGAUCUUAGGGCCGAAGAUAUAUUACAAACAAAAGUUUUAAUCAGCAUCUUCCUCUAAAAAAUACUCUCUCUGUUUAAAAAUAGAUGAAGUUUUAAGAUUGUGCACAACUAUUAAGAAAUUUAUUUUUUAUCUUAAAAAUAUUAUUAAAAUUUAAAUUAAAAAAUUAUUCAAUCAAUCACAAAAUAGACUACAAAAUAUCAUUGGUUACACAGUUUUUGUUAAAGUGAAAAAUGUAUUGAUAUAUGAAAACAUCAUCUAUUUUGAAAUAUCAAAAACUGUCUAAAACAUCAUUUAUUUUGAAAUGGAGGGAGUAGAGAUUUGGUAAGAGGAAGGAUUUAAGAGAGAACUUUUCUCUCUAAACGAAGAGAGAAAGAGAGAGCCUCCCUUUGGUUAUUUUUUUGCUUGCCAUCUCUUUUUCCCCCAGCGUAGAAUCAUAAUAACACUCAUUUGAAUUGACAACUUUUGAAUAUUACUACAAUUUCCAAUCGUAAUUAUCACUAAUAAUAGUUACCGAUUUAAAAGAAAGAAAGAAAACAAUGGUCGUUUCAGUCUUCAUCGAUAAUGAGUUGCAGAGAACCUCGAAGCUUCACGACCAAAACAAUGGCGGAGCGGCCAUACACCAUGCUUCUUCCUCUUCUUCUCCUUCUCCUCCAUUUCCCAUUUUUAACUUCGGCCAUACCUCUCGGCUCUGUUCUCUACGCCUCCGGUUCAAACCAGUCCUGGUCGUCUCCCAAUUCCACUUUCGCCGUCUCCUUUCUUCCAUCGUCUUCUCCAAACACCUUCCUCGCCGCCGUUUCCUUCGCCGGAACCGUUCCCAUUUGGUCCGCAGGAAGCGUUGACUCUCAAGGAUCCCUUCGCCUCUCCUCCUCCGGCUCUCUCCAACUCAUCAACGGCUCCAACACCACCGUCUGGGACUCCGCUACCGACGCUCUCGGCGUCGCUUCGGCUGCGAUUGAAGAUUCCGGUAGCCUUGUCCUCCUCAACAACCGAAACAAAACAGUCUGGUCUUCCUUCGAUCACCCGACGGACACGAUCGUGCAAUCUCAGAACUUCGCCGCCGGUAAGAUUCUCCGAUCUGGCAGCUACUCGUUUCAGCUAGAGAGAAGAGGGAACCUCACGCUUACGUGGAACAACACCACGGUUUACUGGAGCCAAGGGCUUAAUUCGUCAUUUAGCUCCAACUUGUCUUCCCCUAGCUUAGCUUUACAGACCAACGGUGUUGUGUUGAUGUUCGAUUCGACUCUCACUGGUGGAGCUGAAACCAUUUACAGUGACGAUUACGGCGAAGGUAGCAACACGUUUCGGUUCUUGAAGCUAGAUGAUGAUGGGAACCUCAGAAUCUACAGCUCCGUGUCUAGAAACAGCGGUCCUGUCUCGCCUCAUUGGUCUGCUGUAGCUGAUCAGUGUCUUGUUUAUGGGUAUUGUGGUAACUUCGGGAUUUGUAGUUACAAUGAUACUAAACCCAUUUGCUUGUGUCCUUCUCGUAACUUCGAUCCUGUUGAUGUGAAUGACAGAAGAAAAGGUUGUAAGAGAAAAGUAGAGCUAAGUAAUUGCUCUAGCAAUGCAGCCAUGCUUGAUCUGGAUCACACUAGGUUGAUUACAGACCCUAAUGACCCAAACUCUCAGAGUUUCUUUGCUGGAAGUUCGCCUUGUAGAGCGAAUUGUCUUGUUAGUGGUGUUUGUCUUGCUUCUGUCUCCAUGUCUGAUGGGUCUGGAAACUGUUGGCAGAAGCAACCCGGUUCCUUCAUUACCGGGUACCAGAGCUCAUCGGUUCCGAGUACUUCUUAUGUUAAAGUCUGUGGUCCGGUGUUGCUUAACGAACCUUUGGUUGGAUCAAAUGGUGAUGGUAAUAACUCGAAAGUGCACUUGUGGAUUGUUGCAGUUGCUGUACUAGCUGGGCUUCUUGGCUUAGCUGCGGUAGAGGUAGGUCUAUGGUGGUGCUGCUGCAGAAACAAUCCUCGGUUUGGUACUUUGUCGUCUCACUACACGUUGCUUGAGUACGCUUCUGGUGCACCCGUGCAGUUUACAUACAGGGAGCUUCAGCGUUGCACCAAAGGUUUCAAAGAGAAGCUUGGAGCUGGAGGGUUUGGUACCGUGUAUAGAGGCGUGCUCUCGAAUAAAACCGUGGUUGCAGUGAAGCAGCUAGAAGGUAUAGAGCAAGGGGAGAAGCAGUUUAGGAUGGAGGUUGCAACCAUUAGCAGCACACACCAUCUGAAUCUAGUCAGACUGAUCGGGUUCUGCUCUGAGGGACGACACAGGCUUCUCGUCUAUGAGUUCAUGAGAAACGGAUCUCUGGAUAGCUUCUUGUUUAGUACUGCUUCAGGGAAGUUGUUGACUUGGGAGUAUCGGUUCAACAUUGCGCUUGGGACGGCCAAGGGAAUAACUUACCUCCACGAAGAGUGCCGCGACUGCAUUGUUCACUGCGACAUUAAGCCAGAGAACAUUCUCGUGGAUGACAAUUACACUGCCAAAGUCUCUGACUUCGGACUAGCCAAACUCUUGAACCCAAAAGACAACAGGCACAAGAACCUGAGUAGCGUUAGAGGAACUAGAGGCUAUCUAGCACCUGAAUGGCUCGCAAAUCUUCCUAUAACCUCGAAAUCGGAUGUCUAUAGCUACGGUAUGGUCCUGCUAGAAAUAGUCAGCGGACAAAGGAACUUUGAUGUCUCAGAGAGAACAAACCACAAGAAAUUCUCGAUUUGGGCUUACGAGGAGUUUGAUAAGGGUAACACCGAGGCCAUCCUAGACAUGCGUUUAAGCGAAGAUCAGACGGUUGAUAUGGAACAAGUGAGGAGAAUGGUUCAGACAAGCUUCUGGUGCAUACAAGAGCAGCCACUGCAGAGGCCGGCAAUGGGGAAAGUGGUUCAGAUGCUAGAAGGAAUCACGGCCAUAAACAAGCCGCCACGUCCAAAGACCUUAAGCGCAGUGUCGAUUUCAGGGAAUAGUGGGAGCACAAGCCACGCAUCUAUCUUGGUUGCUUCGGGUCCGACGCGAUCAUCUUCUUCGUCCGCUGCUACACGGUCGUUUCAGACAAUGGGGAUCACAUCGUCUGGACCGGCUUCCACAAUAAUCAGUGAAGGUUCGUUGCUUUGAUCUUAAACUGGUUGUACUGUGAGAUUAGUAGUACAAGUAGUGUAGGUUUUCUCUUGCUUUACUUAUUGGAUGCGUUGUAGUUGUAUAGGAACACAGCAAAGCUAUAUCAUAUCUAUUGUUAUGAAAUAAAUAAUAUGCAUAUUCAAGGUUGUGGAACGGUUCCAAGUAGAACCAAAGUUAAAUAUGAUAAUAUUAUCAUCCCAUUGUAAUUAAAAUUAGCAAAUGUUCAACGCAUUGUUAUGACUAAAAAUGUCUAGGGGUUGAAAACCAAUAUAAGAUCUCAAAUUUCUUCCAAUAUUGUUGCGUGUACGUCGUCUCGUGCAAGCAUAACUAAGAGCAUCAUUAACCCAAAAAAGACACCAACAUUUUUAAACUCUAAUGAAAGUUUCUUAUUUAGAGGUUCUUAAAAAAAUUAAAAAAAAUUAAAAAUUAUUUAAUUAAAGAUAAAAUUUAUUUAUUAAAUAAAAUAUUAUAAAAGAUAACAUUUUAAAUAUAGAUUUAAGAAAACAUAAAAACAAAGAUUAGUAAAAUGAACGAUAAUAAUUUGAAAGAAGCAUUCGAGCUCAGUUGUUGUUUUAAUCAUGUCCAAAUUUACGCCAUAUAUGUUCUUAAAUACGCCACUUUGGUGUUGUGAAUAAGAGUGAAUGCUGAUUUAAGAGAGAAAAAAGAGAGAAAGUAAGUGUGUUGUGAUUAAAGAGAGAAGAUGACUUUGGUGUUGUGAAUAAAUUUUUUUGUUGUGAAUAUAAAGAGUGAGUGUUGAUUUAAGAGAUAACAAGAGAGAAAGCAAUAGUGUUUGUUACAAGUGUUUGUUACAAGUCGAGAGUGUUUGUUAUAUAGACACAAGUACUAUCGAUUACAAGUCGAGUUGUUUGAUUCCUUACAAGUCCGUGACAUAAGAAGCAAGUACACAAAAAUACAAUAGAUAAGAAGUUACAAAACAUUGUUUUAUUAAAGAUAAAACUCUUGAAGUUACUUGAGUCAAAAGACAAGUGCUUGUAUCAUCAAAAUCAUCUCCUUGAAUAGUAUAUGGUUUCGCAAUAGGAGAAGGCAAUGCAACUUUUUCUUUAGCCUGGUCUUCAGAUCGCUUCAGACUCUUGUCUGACUUCUCAUGCAAAACUCUUGAAAGCACAACUUUUCAUCUAGAUUCACACUCCAAUUCCGUGAAUCUUCCAAUCCACUAAACAAGUCUAUAAAACCAUAUACAAAAGGUCCAACGGAAGAAGGUUUUGUUUUAUUUGAAAACCCAGCUUCCUCAAUGAACUGAGGGCCUGGAUGAGCAGUCAAGCUUGGAACCUUAAGAAGAUAUAGAAGCUUUUCUGCAUCAGCUGUUGUCAACCCUUGAUCUGGAGUAAUCUGCCACCACUAGUAUUAUGAGUAUCAUGUGAACCGCCGUGACUUCAACACGGCGAGGACGCUGCCCAACCUUCGCCAUUCACUCACCUAAAAACAACAACAACGACGAAAAAACAAAGGAAAUAGAGGAGUCGCCAAGGAGAGCCACAGAGAGAGAUGUGGAGAGAAGAAAGUCGAUAGAGAGAGAUGCUGAGAGAAGAAGGCGAAACUCUCUCAAUGAGAGACACCUCACAAGAGACGUUUCUUCUUGUCCUUAACUAAGACACGUUUCUUCUAAUAACUAUUUUGAUUUAUUUUUAAUCCUAAUUAUGCUAAAAACCCCAGCUAAGCAACUGCUAUAAUCAUGGUCUAACUCGUCGGAAGGUGAGAAAUAAAGCAAAAACUCUACAUUUUUAACUCGAUAAAUAAGUUAAUAAGCUACACAGUAAAUCAUCUUAUAGGAACUUUAAAAUUAUGUAUUAUAGAUUUAAGCUGUCAAUAAUUUUUGUUAUUAUGUAAUUAAGUAACACUACAAGAAAACAGCGGUAUUCUGACGGAUAUUCCGACGGAAAAUGAAAUCCUCGGAAUAUCCCGAGGAAUUUCCGAAGAUAUUCCGAGGAAACACAAAAUUUGGUUUCCUCGGAAUUUCCUCGGAAUAUACCGACGGAAUUCCGAGGAAAUAUCAAUCCGUCGGAAUAUUCUUAUGGAAUACCGAGGAAAAAUAUAUUCCUCGGAAAAAAACCGAUGAAUUCCGAGGAUAUAUUAUAGCCGUUAGAGAGCCGUUGGAGAGCCGUGGGGGAUUUUAAAAAUUCCGAGGAAAUCCGACGAACUAGCCGUUGGCGUCAGAAUUCCGUCGGAAUUUUCUCGGUCUGUCGGCAGGAUUUCAACUAUAAAUACAAGCACCCCUCUUCCUCUUCAUUCACUCUAUAUCUUCAUCCUCCCUCUUACUCUCUUUACACACGAAUUUGAUUCAUAAAAAACAUGUCUUCUUCAAAUUAUUUUCGUUCUUGGAUCGAUCGACCUCAUUUGGAUCCGAACACGAGAUUGCUUACGGAAGAAUACCAACGAGGUAUAACCGAAUUCAUGGGGUUAGUUCACCGACAACCGGAAGCAAAAACAGGUAUGUUAAGAUGUCCUUGCUCUAAUUGUAAAAAUAGAAAGGUUAUUAAAGAGUGGGAUGUUUGGACUCAUCUAUAUUUGAGUGGGUUUACACGAAGUUACAAAAUUUGGUAUCAUCAUGGGGAAACUGAUUAUGAACAUGGUAGUACUAGCGAACCUCAGCCAGCGGUUAGAUUAGAAGAACCAAUUAGAACGGAUGUAGAUUAUGGUGUAGGUACUGAGCAGAUGGUAAAUGAUCAUUUUAGAGGGGAAGAUUUACCCAAUGCAGAAGCUAGGAGAUUUUAUGAUAUGUUGGAUGCUGGAAAGCAACCAUUGUACGAAGGUUGCAGAGAUGGUCAUUCAGCUUUAUCAUCUGCUACAAGAUUGAUGGGCAUUAAAACAGAUUAUAAUUUGGCUGAAGACUGUGUGGAUGCGAUUGCUGAUUUUGUAAAAGGUAUUCUACCCGAGGAUAAUGUAGCUCCUGGUUCAUACUAUGAGGUUCAGAAACUCGUAGCUGGUCUUGGUUUAUCGUAUCAGGUAAUAGAUGUAUGCAACGACAACUGCAUGAUUUAUUGGAGGGCGGAUGAACAGCGGGUUACAUGCAAAUUUUGUGGGAAACCUCGUUAUAAAAAUACGAGUGGAAGAGUUCCAGUGCCAUAUAAAAGGAUGUGGUAUUUACCUUUGACGGAAAGGUUGCAGAGGUUGUAUCUGUCUGAACGCACAGCGCAACCAAUGAGAUGGCAUGCGGAGCACUCAACAGAUGGUGAGAUCAGACAUCCUUCAGAUGCAAAAGCGUGGAAGCAUUUCCAAUCAAAGUAUCCCGACUUUGCGUAUGAGAGAAGAAAUGUCUACCUUGGAUUAUGUACUGAUGGUUUCAGUCCGUUUGGCAAGAGUGGAAGACAGUAUUCUCUAUGGCCCGUCAUUCUUACACCAUACAACCUACCCCCAAACUUGUGCUUGCGACGAGAGUUUUUGUUUCUCUCGAUUCUCGUUCCCGGACCAGAGCAUCCUAAGAGAUCACUUGAUGUGUUUCUUCAGCCACUAAUAUAUGAGUUGCAACAACUAUGGGCUCAAGGUGCUGAAACAUACGAUGUUUCGUGUAAAGAAAACUUUCAAAUGCGGGCAGUACUAAUGUGGACAAUAAGUGAUUUUCCAGCAUAUGGUAUGUUAUCUGGAUGGACAACGCAUGGAACGUGCAAGACCCGUUGUUUUUUUUUUUUUUCAAAAACUCAGAAUGUUUUAUUUUUAUUUGUACAACUUUGAAUAUCAUCUAAUAUGUUUUCAAUUUUAAUUUUAAUUUUAUAUUUUCGAAUUUAAAUUUCAAAAAUUUUAAUUUUUUAAAAAAAUUAAUUUAAAAAAAAAAUUAAUUUAAAAAAAAAAAUUAAUUUUUUUUGAAAUUCCGAGGAAAUGGACCCUCGGAAAUUUCCGACGAACAUUUCCUCGGAAUAAGUCAUCGGAAUAUACCAAGGGCCACAUUCCUCGGAAUUUUCCGAGGGCCACGGUCCUCGAAAAUUCCCGAUGAAAAUUCCGAGGAACAUUUCGUCGGAACUUCCGAGGAUUGGACCAUCGGAAAUUCCAUCAAAAUAUCCCGAGGAAGUCCUCCCUUGGUAUAUUCCGAGAACUUUUCCGACGAACUGGUGGUUUUCAGAGUUUCCUCGAAAAUUCAUUUCCUCGGAAUUCCGUCGAAAAUUUCCGAGGGAUUUUCGAGGAAAAAUGAAUUUCCGAGGAGUUUUUUUUCCGAGGACUUUUUUCGUCAGUAUGUCGUCGGAAUAGUGUUAUUCCGACGAUAUAUCGACGAUAUUUUCGCUCGGUAUGCCGCUGUUUUCUUGUAGUAUAAGUGCAUAUAAUUUGUUGUCAAUGUGACUAAAAUAUGAGUGAUUUUAAAGAGACGUUAUUACAAUUAGUACGUAUAUGAAAUGUCAUAUUUCAAACCUCAUUUUACCUAAUAAAAAUUAGAACUUGUAUAAAGGUGUAUAAAAUUUGUAUUGAUUCAUUCAUAAAUUUAACAAAGAAACCUACACAAUAAAUAGUUUCUGGAGGUUUAGAUUCUUUGGUAACACACUACUAACACUGCCAAAGGUUUUUCGUAUAAUUUUUGUUUACUGCUUUUUAAUUGUCUUUGAGCUCUUUCUGAUUGCAACUACUAAAAUAUAAACAAAAAUAGUCUAAUCAAAAUAAGAAGAUUCUCGAGACAUCAAAAUCCAGGAAAGAUUAAAAUAAGAAGGAGAAUUGCUUUGGAAUGGCAAAGCAACAAUCGUAUUCAACGAAGUGAAUCCAUUCACCAUGAUUAGCCCGAAAAUUAAUGUCGAUCCUUGGACCUUGAUACCAGUAUUUUGGUCAAAGAUGGUUUACCGCAUUUUUUUGGUUUGAUCAUCAAACUCUCAACACUCUUUUUAGUUUUUAUACACCUAUUUGUUCUUAAUUAUUUGUUGUCACCCACUUAUUUUCAACAAAUAUGUAAUCAAAUAUCAUUUUCAACGCGUUUUUAGGAUAAACUUUCAGGUACCCUUUUUAUAAAGAGCAUGGGGGCGGGCUGAUUAUUUACAACGAUAUAUAUGUAUAUAUAAUAUAUAUAUACACAUUAUAUAUUGAGACGUGGAAUCAAAUAUAUAUGAUAGAAAUGCGAUAGAGACACUCAGAAAUAUAUAGAAAUUUGACCAAUGUGAAACUUGUUGAAUUGGUCCAAAAAACUAGGCAAUCUUUCCGACCAACACAUGUAUCCUUUUAGAUUAAUUCUUCUUCUUACGUCCUACUUCUAAUUACUAGAUAAGCAACUAUCUAUAGCCUGAACGUAAAUGGCCAACGUGUUAAUGUAAACAAUAUGUAUGAUUUUGGUAGUUUUAAUUAAUUUUAAACAUGUAUGGAUGAGAAUAUUAAAAGUUGCCCACAAUGGUAUUCGUGCACACAAGCAGAAAUCACAGUUAGUAAAGCCGGAUAACAAUAGUCGAUUCGAACACGUACCAUAUGAUACCCAUCUUGCUUGUACGUAGCUACCACACUUCGAAACAUCAGUUGCAAUGUAAGAACUAGAUCAUGACCCGGAUAACAGGAAAUUUUUUUAUUUUAAAUUGAUUAAACAAAAUUUAUAAAUUAAAUGAAUGUUGUUCAGUGUUAAAAGAGGUUUUAGUUGUAUAAUAUUACUUUAUAUGACUAAAUAACGUUAUUACAAUUCUUUGGUAACGUAUCUUGUUAAUAAUUUGGUUCAUAUUAUAACAAGUUUAUAUUUGUUGUUUUUAAGUAGUGUUAAGAAUUUAUCUUCAGAAAAUAUAUAUUUCGAAUAUAUUUGAUAAUUGUUUUGUUAUUAUAUUUAUUGUACUAUGUUGUUAUUUUCGAUGUAUAAUGUUUAUAUAUAUUUAUAUUUUUAUGUAAUGGCUAUUAUUGAAUUAUCAUAUUACAUAAAUAAAUUAUAUAAAGUUUCUGGAGGUUUAGAUUCUUUGGUAACACACUACUAACACUGCCAAAGGUUUUUCGUAUAAUUUUUGUUUACUGCUUUUUAAUUGUCUUUGAGCUCUUUCUGAUUGCAACUACUAAAAUAUAAACAAAAAUAGUCUAAUCAAAAUAAGAAGAUUCUCGAGACAUCAAAAUCCAGGAAAGAUUAAAAUAAGAAGGAGAAUUGCUUUGGAAUGGCAAAGCAACAAUCGUAUUCAACGAAGUGAAUCCAUUCACCAUGAUUAGCCCGAAAAUUAAUGUCGAUCCUUGGACCUUGAUACCAGUAUUUUGGUCAAAGAUGGUUUACCGCAUUUUUUUGGUUUGAUCAUCAAACUCUCAACACUCUUUUUAGUUUUUAUACACCUAUUUGUUCUUAAUUAUUUGUUGUCACCCACUUAUUUUCAACAAAUAUGUAAUCAAAUAUCAUUUUCAACGCGUUUUUAGGAUAAACUUUCAGGUACCCUUUUUAUAAAGAGCAUGGGGGCGGGCUGAUUAUUUACAACGAUAUAUAUGUAUAUAUAAUAUAUAUAUACACAUUAUAUAUUGAGACGUGGAAUCAAAUAUAUAUGAUAGAAAUGCGAUAGAGACACUCAGAAAUAUAUAGAAAUUUGACCAAUGUGAAACUUGUUGAAUUGGUCCAAAAAACUAGGCAAUCUUUCCGACCAACACAUGUAUCCUUUUAGAUUAAUUCUUCUUCUUACGUCCUACUUCUAAUUACUAGAUAAGCAACUAUCUAUAGCCUGAACGUAAAUGGCCAACGUGUUAAUGUAAACAAUAUGUAUGAUUUUGGUAGUUUUAAUUAAUUUUAAACAUGUAUGGAUGAGAAUAUUAAAAGUUGCCCACAAUGGUAUUCGUGCACACAAGCAGAAAUCACAGUUAGUAAAGCCGGAUAACAAUAGUCGAUUCGAACACGUACCAUAUGAUACCCAUCUUGCUUGUACGUAGCUACCACACUUCGAAACAUCAGUUGCAAUGUAAGAACUAGAUCAUGACCCGGAUAACAGGAAAUUUUUUUAUUUUAAAUUGAUUAAACAAAAUUUAUAAAUUAAAUGAAUGUUGUUCAGUGUUAAAAGAGGUUUUAGUUGUAUAAUAUUACUUUAUAUGACUAAAUAACGUUAUUACAAUUCUUUGGUAACGUAUCUUGUUAAUAAUUUGGUUCAUAUUAUAACAAGUUUAUAUUUGUUGUUUUUAAGUAGUGUUAAGAAUUUAUCUUCAGAAAAUAUAUAUUUCGAAUAUAUUUGAUAAUUGUUUUGUUAUUAUAUUUAUUGUACUAUGUUGUUAUUUUCGAUGUAUAAUGUUUAUAUAUAUUUAUAUUUUUAUGUAAUGGCUAUUAUUGAAUUAUCAUAUUACAUAAAUAAAUUAUAUAAUUUUUAUUAGAUUGUAGAUUAGUGCAAUACAAAAAUAACUGAUGUUGCUAACAUAUAGAAAUAUGAAUACAUUUUUUGUGUUCAUAUAUAUCAAAUUAAUUACAUUUCAUAUAAAUAAUCUUAUUCUCUAUAUAUAUUUAAAUAUUAGAAAAUUAAAAUUUUAAUUGAUUAAAUGUAUGUAGAUUUUAUUCAAUAAGCUAUAUAAUAAUCUAUAGAUUUAUUUUCGUACACUUUUUAAAAAAAAUCAUUCUGAUUUGUUUGAAAAGAAUUGACUCAACAAAAACAUAUAUAGAUAAGCACAGAUUUGGCCCAAUGAAUUUUGUUAAGUAUCCAUUUAUAAAUUAAAGUCCGCCAUCUAACAUCUUUUAACUCGGAACAACAAGUAAACGUUUGUAUAAUCUUUUUGUGCUUUUAUUUGUCAGGCAUGCACCACCUCUUGAAUUAUUUAUUGUUCCAAUCAUAUAAACUGUUUUAAAAAAAAAUACCGGAAAUAUCUUUAAAAAUACAAUUUACGAAAUCAAAAUGUUUUUACAUUUUUAUUUUAUUGUAUUUUAAGUAUAUAUAACAAUAUUAUUAUAUUUUAUUUUUAAUAUGAAAUUGUAUAAGAUAUUAUUUAACUUAAUUUUUAGUCAUUUCAACUCUUUUCAUUAUGAAUUUUCAAUAAAAUCUCUCUAAUUUAUUUUAUCAAUUGUAUAAUAUAUUUUAUAAAAGCAAAUACUACAUGAUAUGAAACAUGAUAACACUUAUUGGUCAAAUGAAGCUUUAAAAAAUACCAAAAUUUACAGUGAAGAAAAAUAAGUGUUUUUUUAGACACUGAUUAUUCUUGAUUGUAAUUUUUUAUAUUUUAACAUCACUGAUUAAAAAAUAAAAAUAAAAGAAUAAAUGUUUACAUAUGGUACUAAUAACUCUUAUAUCAUCACUAAAGUAAAAUUUUGGUAUAAAUAUUUAUUGUUGGCAAGAAGUUUGAAAACUAUUAAUUUGUAGUGAAAAAUAAAUUUAAUAUAAUUUUUACAUCAACUUAUAUAUAUAUAUAUAUAUAUAUAUCUCAAAAUAAUUAUAAUUUCUAAUCAACAAAUACAAAAGUAAAUCAACACUAAUCAAAUAAUUUAUUUUCUUGUCGGAGCUGCUUCCAUGCGCUCCGACAAGUAAAGCCUAAAGUGUCUUGAGAGAGAAUCAUUUGGUUUGCGCAGGGCGUUCUACAAUACUCUUUCAUUACAUGGUUAGCGAUCAUGGAACCGGUUAUCGAUAGGUGACCAUAUGCGAUCAUGGGGGAAAACUCAGGUUUGUAUGCGUUGCGGUGAGCCAUCUAUGUUUGCAUGCCCUUACUUCUUCAUAGUUUGACUGAGAGUGAGAAGACUGCUCACAGAUCAAGCUUCUCAUGGCUGGACGGACACGCUUAACUUCUUGCACCGGGGAGGCCGCAACCUGAUGGAUCAUAUACUCUUUUGUAUGGUGUUCCAAACUGUGGUUCACUACCUCUAAAGAACGAAAUACCAAGAGAUAUGAAGGACCUUGGAACCCACGUGAGCAGACUUGUUUGAAGUCUGCGAAAAUAUUCUCCUUGUAUUUUCAAAGCAGUGAAAAACAUAAUAUUCUCCUUGGGAUACAUAUUUUCACAUAAGUUAACAGGUCUCUUGCGAAAAUUGUUUGAAGUUACUUAAUUCUUUAUUCUUCUUGGGUGGGUUUGUAGUUUAUGCUUUCCUGCCUUAGGGUUCUCCAUUACACAAUUCAUAUUUGUAGAUAUGUCUUUUGUUGAUCAAUAAAUUUUAAUUUCAUCGAAAAAAAUUAUAUAUUAAAUAAUGACAUAUAUAAAUUCUAAUAAAUUUUAGAUCUUUGUUUGUUUUAGUUAAAAUAUGUUAAACUGAUAAAAUAAAUAUCUUGAUUAACUUAAUAAAAUGAUAAAUUUAAAUAAAAAUUUAAUCAUUCAACUAUCAAAAAAAAAAUUUGAUUAGUAUUGCUUUAGUUUUGUAUUUAUUGAAUUUAAAAAUUUUGAUUAUGUAUAUAUAUAUAAUAUGAUAUAUAAGUUGAUGCAAAAAUUAUAGUUUUAGUUGUAUUAAGUUUAUUUGUUAUUAAUCCGAUACAUAUUUCAAUUUAAUGUUGAUAUAUGAGUUAUUGAUAUAUUCAAAAGUCAACCAAGUCGCCUUCGCCAAAUGGUAAAAGAGCUCGAGCACGAGCUUCCGCCAUGGGUUCGAAUAGUAUUGGGCAUCUAGCCGCGCCCGGAUGCAAAAUAUCGUGGGAUUAGUUUUUUGACCUAAAAAAUCUUUGGGAUCCACACGGCUAUAGAAAAAACAUUUCUUAAGUUUUACCAAAAAUAAUUAUUUAUAUUAAAAGAUAUGUUUAAUGACGACAUAUGAGUUAUCAGUCAUUACCAUAUCUAUAUUUAUUUUUGCCAAAAAAUAUAGAUGGUUAUAUGAAAAUUGUACAUGUCCCAAUUAGAAUGUCACAAUUAGAUUGAUGUUAUGUUAUAUUUUUAAAAGGUUAUGUCAUAUUUCUUUUGUGGAUAAUGAAUGUAGUGAUGAUACAUACACAAAUUACUUCGUAAAUAAUGUUUAGGAGACUAGAUAUAAACACAUAUGUGACAUGGCUGAUUUUUCACUUUUUUAUUUCAGUAUAUAGUAUGAGCAAGAUUUUUUUUUAAUGAACUUUAGCUAGUUUCCUUGACUAAACUAUGAAAUAUAAAAUGGAUAAAAUAUUUUUAUAUUGAAUAUUUUACCAUCGAAAAAAUAUAUUGCGUUUUUUUACUAAUCAUGGGAAUCCCUAACCUAAAAUCCAUACUGAUUAGAAAAAAACUCAAAUUUUGGGUUUUAUUGCUACUAAAAACGUUUAUGGGUGACCGACCAUCCACGGUUGAAACAUGAAAUCAUAGCAUGGAAACUCAAACGUCUAUUCCCCAACUGGGAAACUGGAAUCACCUGAUUUGAAAAUAGGAUAACUUCUUCAUCCCAACUCCUAUGAGAUUUAUUCAACUUCCUAGUGAUUCUCCACCACCUUAUGAAUCCAAAUCAAGCUUCUCACAAUGUGAUUCAUCUUGGUUUAAUUGGAACGACGAAGAAGCUGUGCUAUUCUCAAACUGGGAAACUGGAAUCACCUGAUUUGAAAGUGGGAUAACUUUUUCAUCCCAACUCCUAUGAGAUUUAUUCAACUUCCUAGUGAUUCUCCACCACUUUAUGUAUCCAAGUCAAGCUUCUCACAAAUUGAUUCAUCCUGGUUUGAUUGGAACGACGAAGAAGCUGUGCUAUUCCCAAACUCGGAAACUGCAAUCACCUGAUUUGAAUGUAGGAUAACUUCUUCAUCACAACUCUUAUGAGAGUUAUUCAACUUCCUGGUGAUUCUCCACCACUUUAUGUAUUCAAAUGAAGCUUCUCACUAAGUGAUUGAUCCUGGUUUGAUUGGAAUGACGAAGAAGCUGUGCUAUUCCCAAACAGGGAAACUGGAAUCACCUGAUUCGAAAGUGGGAUAGCUUCUUCAUCCUAACUCAUAUGCAAUUUAUUAAACUGCCUGGUGAUUCUCCACUACUUUAUGUAUCAAAAUCAAGCUUCUUACAUCGCGAUUCAUCCUGGUUUGAUUAGAAUUACAAAGAAGCUGCCAUAUUCCCAAACAGGAAAACUGGGAUAACCUGAUUUGAAAGUUGGAUAGCUUCUUCAUCCUAACUCAUACGAGAUUUAUUCAACUUCCUAGUGAUUCUCCAUUACUUUAUAUAUCAAAAUCAAGCUUCUUACAUCGCGAUUCAUCCUGGUUUGAUUAGAAUGACAAAGAAACUGUCAUAUUCCCAAACAGGGAAACUGGGAUAACCUGAUUUGAUUUCAACAUAUAAUGAAUGAUAUAUUCAAUAAUUAUUCAAAAUUUACAAUUGUCUACAUAGAUGACGUGUUAGUAUACUCCACUUCAAUAGACCAACACAUUAGUCACUUAAACACAUUCCUCAGUAUAGUUAAAAAACAUGGAUUAGUUAUAUCAGCCAAGAAAAUUUCUUUAUUCCAAACAAAAAUAAGAUUUUUAGGACAUAAUAUAUAUCAAGGAACAAUCACACCUAUUUCAAGAUCAAUUGAAUUCGCAGAUAAAUUUCCUGACGAGUUAAGAGAAAAGACCCAAUUACAAAGAUUUUUAGGAUGUCUAAACUAUGUUUCAGACUUCUUACCCAAUCUUAGGAAAACAAUUCAACCAUUAUUUCAACGGUUACAAAAGAAUCCAAAACCAUGGACUAAUCAACAUACCCUUUUAGUCAAACAAGUUAAGCAAAAGGUUAAAACUCUUCCAUGCCUUUCCAUACCAAAUCCUGAAGCUGACAUGAUAGUUGAAACUGAUGCUUCAGAAAUAGGUUAUGGAGGAAUUCGCAAGCAAAAAUUACCACAAUCAAAACAAGAAUCUAUAGUUCGAUUCCAUUCAGGAGUCUGGUUAGGACCACAAAAGCAUUAUUCAACAGUUAAGAAAGAAGUUCUCUCAAUUGUUAAUUGUACCUCAAAAUUCCAAGACGACUUAAUAAACAAAAUUUUUUUAUUGCGAGUAGAUUGCAAAUCAGCAAAAGAAAUAUUGCAAAAAGAUGUCAAAAACUUAGUAUCAAAACAAAUAUUUGCUAGAUGGCAAGUGAUAUUAUCCGUUUUCAAUUUUGAUAUUCAAUAUAUUAAAGGAGAAAAAAAAUUCUUUACCCGACUUUCUAACAAGAGAGUAUUUGCAGGGAAAAUCCACAGAUAAUCAACAACAACAAGAUAUUCAAAAUGAGUGACUAGAAGAUGAAAAAGCAGAUGACAGCAACGGAUUAUAUCAAAAACCAACCACAUCUCCAAGGAAGGACUUUAACUCCAAACCCUUACUCAGCAUUAGCUGAAUAUCCUCCUCUAUCUUAUUCAAAAGCAGUCUCUGAAAAGUCAUCAAAAACGGAAACACAAUCAUCUACAGCAACCCCAAACACAACCAAUAGCUUCUUCAUCCUAACUUCUAUGAUAUUUAUUCAACUUCCUAGUGAUUCUCCAUUAGUUUUUGUAUCAGACUUCUUACCCAAUCUAGGAAAAUAAUUCACCUAUGAGAUUUAUUCAACUUCCUAGUGAUUCUCCACCACCUUAUGAAUCCAAAUCAAGCUUCUCACAAUGUGAUUCAUCUUGGUUUAAUUGGAACGACGAAGAAGCUGUGCUAUUCCCAAACUCGGAAACUGCAAUCACCUGAUUUGAAUGUAGGAUAACUUCUUCAUCCCAACUCCUAUGAGAUUUAUUCAACUUCCUAGUGAUUCUCCACCACCUUAUGAAUCCAAAUCAAGCUUCUCACAAUGUGAUUCAUCUUGGUUUAAUUGGAACGACGAAGAAGCUGUGCUAUUCCCAAACUCGGAAACUGCAAUCACCUGAUUUGAAUGUAGGAUAACUUCUUCAUCAAAGACCUUGGUUUUAUACAUCAUCAUACAACAAAACCUUUUUCUAUCCCAGGCUAUCAUAUCGACGGCUACACCUAUACUGAUUACAAAAAUGCCUUUUUCCGAGCCUUUUUACUCAGACCCUAUGACCACUCUUGGUUCUUCAGUUUUGAUCAAAACUGCACAAAGACGAUAUCGGGAUGGUUCAACGAAUGGUGGUACUGGUACGGACCAGCAGAUCCAAUCUACCCCGACCAAGUACUCAAGACCUCCUACCCAUUCUACAAGAAACACGUAUUUGAUCAACCAGUUGGGCCUCUAAACAAAAUGAGAUUUAUUCAACUUCCUAGUGAUUCUCCAUUACUUUAUAUAUCAAAAUCAAGCUUCUUACAUCGCGAUUCAUCCUGGUUUGAUUAGAAUGACAAAGAAACUGUCAUAUUCCCAAACAGGAAAACUGGGAUAACCUGAUUUGAAAAUGGGAAAGCUUCUUCAUCCUAACUCCUAUGAGAUUUAUUCGACUUCCUAGUGAUUCUUCAUUACUUUAUGUAUCAAAAUCAAGCUUCUUACAUCGCGACUCAUCCUGGUUUGAUUAGAAUGACAAAGAAGCUGUCAUAUUCUCAAACAGGAAAAUUGGGCCCACCUGAUUUGAAAGUGGGAUAGCUUCUUUCAUCCUAACUCUUAUGAGAUUUAUUCAACUUCCUAGUGAUUCUCCAUUACUUUAUGUAUCAAAAUCAAGCUUCUUACAUCAUGAGUCAUCCUGGUUUGAUUAGAAUGACAAAGAAGCUGUCAUAUUCCCAAACAGGAAAACUGGGAUCACCUGAUUUGAAAGUGGGAUAGCUUCUUC
RNAcentral lists this long non-coding RNA (56281 nucleotides) under Brassica napus (rape). Its description in RNAcentral is "long non-coding RNA (BNAP_LNC008427)". Lineage: Eukaryota; Viridiplantae; Streptophyta; Magnoliopsida; Brassicales; Brassicaceae. The record is from RNAcentral.